AUAUAUAUAUAUAUAUAUAUAUAUAUAUAUAGAGUGAGGCCUACUAUGCUAUCGGAAGCACGGAGCUUCCGUGCUUCCAGCUCGUUUUCGAUGUUGCGACUUUCAAAUCGUCGAUUGGCUCGUUAAACUUGAUCUAGAGUAUUUGAAAUCCUAGAAAAUAAAUUUUAUUAUUUUUCGAUAUCAUUUGCCUAGUGAUCGAAUGGGCUCAAAAUCAACAAAUUCAAUGACCGUAGUGAGCCGUUUGCAAGUUUAACGGUGUAGAAAUAUUCAAAUCACAGUGAAAUUUUGAUAGAAAUUCUUUAUACUAUAUAAAACAAGAUUUAUAUCUUUGAUUUAAAAUUUUAAUAUCAUAUUAUUAUAUAUUUGUAAGAUUUUUAUUUUCAGCCGUUGAUUUUGAGCCUUCGUUCACUAGGCAAUGAUAUCGUUAAAAUCAUAAAUUUAUUUUCUAGGUAAUUCAAAUACUCUAGAUCAAGUUUAACGGAGGCGAUCGACGAUUUGAAAGUCGCAACAUCGAAAACGAGCUGGAAGCACGGAAGGCUAUGUGAUUCCAAUAGCAUAGUAGCCUCACUCAUUUAGUAUAUAUAUAUAUAUAUAUAUAUAUAUAUAUAUAUAUAUAUAUAUAUAUAUUUUUGAGCUUUUCGAGCCUAAUUCGAAUGAGCCGAGUAAUACUCAAGCUCGGCUUGAAAUGAAUUUCGAGCCUUUUUUUUGUUCAAGCUCGGCUCAUUUAAUUUCGAGUCGAGCUCGAGCGAGCCAAAUAUCGAGUCGAACGCGAGUCAAACGCGAGCCGGCUCGCUCAUUUGCCAGCCCUAGUGGUAUUUGAAGUUUUUCCUAAAACUUAUAUACAUGGGUACUAUGAGUACCCGUGAGUUACCCAAAAUGCCCAUAAUUUAACGAAUAUUUGCCUAUUUUAUCCAUAAUUUUUUGGAUGAGAAAAAUUUAUAUUCAUAUCUGUAAAUUUACGAAUAACCUAUGAAUAUUCACGAGUACGGGUUGAGAUUCUCUUGUUAAAUAGAAUCUGGGUACCAAACCCAAGUGACUAAAAAGAUUCUAAUAUCAAAAUCAUUAGUCAAAUGAGAUUUGAAAAGUUAGUCAACAUUUUACCGGUAAAAUCUUUGAAAUUAUAAGGAUUACCAAUCAAGAUUGCGAGACAAAGAGAGCAAAUUAGAUAUUACUAGAUUUCAUACUUGUUUGAUCCCGCCGUACGUGUAGCAAGAUUUAAUAAAACUUUUUUUUUGGGAAAACUUCAAAAACCGUUCUGUGGUUUCGUAGUUUCUCACUUUGCUCCCUGUGAUUUAAAAUGUAUCAAAUUGCCCCCCUGUGAUUUCUUUUUUAUUUUUUCGGUAGCUUUUUCGUUAAUAUUUCAUUAAAUUAUAUAUAAAAAACUUCAGAUACCCAUAUAGAUUUAUCAAAUAUUUACUUUAGUACCCUUUAAUUUUAACUUUAUCACUGAUUUAAGAAAAAAAAAAUAAUGAAAUUGAUAAGAAAAAGAGAAAAAAGAAACCACAGGAGGGCAAAUUGAUACAUUUUAAACCACAGGGGGGCAAAGUGAGAAUCUAUGAAACCACGGGGGGUUUUUUAAAGUUUUUCUUUUUUUUUUUUUUUUUUUUUGUGCUGAGUGUUGGUACUAGGAGAAAUAUUAUAUUAAUUUAUCUCUAAUAAUUUUUUGCACCGACAAAAUCACAGGUAUGAAACCAGAGCUUCACGUGCUUUUAUUAAGAAAUUUUUUUUUUUCUUUUGUUGAAAUUAGGAGCGGAAGCUGAAAGCUGCCAAACAAGCCAUCAAGAAGAUGCCAUCCCAAAUUGACUCACACCAUUUUGCUUUAAUUACGUUGCCUAACCUUCUAAGAAUUUGACCUCCAAACUACCACAUCACUACAUGCCAUAUUAAUCUCCCAUCUGUGUAAGCUUCCCAAAGUGAGAAAAGCAACUUGAACAAGAGGAAUUCGGCUACUAUCCUUUCAGAAGGACAGAGACCUUCAUCCUUUUAAGUUGAUUUAGACGAUAGAUAUAUCAAAUCGAUAAUCGAAACAGUUAAAGUUGAUAUAGAGUAUCUAAAGUAUCUAGAAACUAAAUUUUAUAAAAUUUGAAAAAUUAUUUAAAUAGUGAUCAAAGGAUCACAAAAUCAGCAGUAUUUUGACGGCUUAUAUGAGCUGUUUGUGUGUUUAACGGUGGAGAACAAUCUGAACAGCUUGAAUUCUUCUUUUUUUUUUUUUUUUUUUGAGAGAUAGGUAGCACGCUUGAAUUCUUUUUUUUUUUUUUUCUUUUGAGAAAUAGGUAGCACGCUACCUGUUUCAUUUAUUUUAUUUAGAAAUAAACUUAACUAGAAAUGUGAAUCAACUAGGAUUCGAACUUGGGUUUCGGAUACCAAGCACCAAGCCUUUUGCCACUUGCUCUAGGGACGGUCGGUGAACAGCUUGAAUUCUUAAUAAAAAAUUUUUUUAUAUUAUUUAGAUAAUGUUUGAUAACUCCGAUUAUGAAUUAAAAAAGUCUAGCAUCUAUUUUUACAAGGUUAUUUAUUUUUGACCAUUUAUAUUUUCGACUCUUCAAAGAACUUGAUAACGAAUUUUAAAAUUUGUGAAAUUUAGUUUCUGAACGUUAUAAAUAUUUUAGAUCAACUUUAACAGUUUCGAUCAUCGAUUCAAAAUUUCUAUUAUUUAAAAUGAGUUAGAAGGACGAAGGCCUCCGUCGAAGAGUAGCUGAACUUGAACAAGCUCUCUCUCGCUCUCUUUCUAAACCACUUUCUCUCUCUCACAAGGUGCUUCAAAACUAAAAGCAAUGGGUCCCCCCAACCCAUCCCUUGAAUUAAAGCUUUUAAUCACAACCACAAACAACAGGAGCUAAACAUAUUCAUUGGGUCAACUACAAAGACUGAACCAAGGCAAUCCACCAACUACAAGAAUUAAGGGCUUUUUUUGCAAAUAGCGUCCUAACUAAUUUUUUUUUUAAAAUUGGCCGUAUCAAAAAUUUAUUUGCAAAAAUGGCUCUGGUCCCACCACGUCAGCGCCACAUCAGCGUCACGCGGGCGAGGCUGGGCCAUGUGUUUAAGUUGAACACGGUGAAUCAUUCACCGUGUUCAAUAUAAGAUUUUGUAUUAGACACGGUGAAUGAUUCGGUGAAUGAUUCACCGUGUCCAAUACAAAAUGGUUAACUGCGAGAUAUUUGUAUUGGACACGGUGAAUCAUUCACCGUGUCCAAUACAAAUAAUUGAACACGGUAAAUGAUUCACCGUGUCCAAUACAAACACCCACAACUUAGUCAUUUUUGGUUAAGUUAGAGGUAUUUGUAUUGGACACGGUGAAUCAUUCACCGUGUCCAAUACAAAAACCUUAUAUUGAACACGGUGAACGGUUCACCGUGUUCAACUUAAACACAUGGCCCAGCCCUGCCCGCGUGGCGCUGACGUGGCGCUUGCGUUGCGGGGCCAGGGCCAUUUUUACAAAUAAAAUUUUGACAGGGCCAAUUUUAAAAAUAAAAUUUAUCAGGGGUCUAUUUGCAAAAAAAGCCCAAGAAUUAAAUGAGAUCUCCCCCUGUGUGAGCUCCAGUCCCACAAGCCAUAAACCCAGAGCCAUACACAAAUUGUUUUCCCCUUUGAAAAAAAUUCUUCAUAGGAAGAGAAAGCUAAGGCACUAUUUUCUCCUGGAAAAAUGGGGACCGAAAUGAAGAUCGCGAGGAGCGUCAGCCAGAUCGAGCCGCAGAAGUUCGCCUUCGGGCUAGUCCUGGGUUGCCUUCUAUGCUCACUGACAUAUGUUUCAGUGUUCAAGUUCGACGUAGUUUCCUUGCGUAAGUUCAUCAAUCUUUCGAGGCUCAAUUUUGCGGCUAUGUCGCCUUAGCAGUUUUUAUUCUUACACUUCUUGCUGUUCUGCAGUGAAUUCCGCAUCACCAUCUUCAUUAACUGCACCUCCUUUCGAAAAUAAUGUUACUUCGCAGCAGUUAGGUAAGAGAACAGGGUCUUUGAGAAAGAAAGGAUAAUGUGGGUGGCAAAAUAAGUGGAAAAUAAGCUACAAAUCAUGUAGAUCAUGCUGAUCUUGCAUCUUUCAGGUAGGGGAUUGAAAAAUGUGACACUAGAAAGCGACAAGAAUGAGGCUUUUGUGAUGAUAUGGAAUUCCUCAUCAUCAUCAUCAAGUUUAGCUGCAGAUCCUUCAAAUAGUACUCAACAACAAGGUACCCUUCCUUUCAAAAUUUCAAGCCACUUUUUAAAAUUCAAAUUAGUAUUUUACAGUGAAGAGCACUUUCCUUUGUCCAUUACACAGAUUUGAAGGGCGCGGGGCAAGAAAUUAGCCUACAAUGUGAACUUUGUGGGAAGGAAAAUGGCACUACUACUAUUACUACCACUGCUAACAGCAGUGGUUCCGACAAAAUUGAUUCAAUUCAGAAGACAGCUGCAUUCGAAGCAAUGAAAACAGGUAGUGUAGUAUUCAGUCUUUCGUUAUUGGUAAAUCGGAGCAAUCGUGACUCAGAGUAUUCACUUUCAUUUGCCAUAUUUGCUCUUAUGCCUCUUCUUCUGUUUCCUUUCUUUUGUUGGAAGAUGAAAGGAGAAACGAUUUGAAUCCCGCGAAGAAGCCGAUGUGCGAUUUUUCGAACAGAAGAAUAGAUCGGUGCGAGAUCGAAGGUGAUGUGAGAAUCUUGGGGAGAAACUCAUCCAUUUUCUUAGUUAAUUCGCGGGAAACAGAUGGUCCGUAUCGAAACGAAACAUGGUGGAUCAAACCUUAUCCUCGCAAGACGGAUACAAAUGCGAUGAGUAAUGUGAAGGAAUUGACAUUGAAAUCAUUGGAGCCUUUCGAGGAGGCCCCUCAAUGCACCGAUCAUCACGACGUGCCCGCCGUCGUUUUCUCGGUUCGUGGUUACACCGGAAAUUUCUUCCACGCAUUCACCGACGUGUUCGUCCCUCUCUUUGAGACAUCUCACGAAUUCAACGGGGAGGUCCGGUUCCUCAUCACGGAGUUUAGAGCUUGGUGGAUCAACCGGUUCCUUCCGAUAUUCAAAAGUCUCUCGCGGUACGAUAUGAUCGACCUCGAUAACGACGAUAGAGUCCUUUGCUUUCCGCGCGCUAUCGUCGGUUUGAAAAGCCACGGUGACUUCAGUAUCGACCCUUCUCCGUCGCCCGAGGGCUAUUCAAUGGUCGACUUUUCGAGAUUCAUGAGGAGUGCGUAUUCACUCAAGAGAGAUUCGGUGGCGGUCGGAACUAGAAGGCCAAGGUUACUGAUCAUCUCAAGGGAGAGAACAAGAAAAUUCGCGAACUUAAAGGAUGUAAUUCACUUGGCAGAGAAAAUGGGCUACGAAGUAGUGGUAUCGGAGGCUAACAUAGAUCUAGCUCAAUUCUCGCAAGUUGUGAACUCGUGCGACGUGAUGAUGGGUGUCCACGGGGCGGGCCUGACGAACAUCGUCUUCCUCCCGACGAACGCAGUUUUGAUCCAGAUAGUCCCUUGGGGGGGACUGAAUUGGAUUGCGAGGACUUACUUCGACAAACCGUCAAAGGAAAUGAAGUUGAACUACUUGGAGUAUAGUAUUAGCAAGGAGGAGAGCACUCUAAUAGAGAAGUACCCUCGCGAUCACGCCGUGUUUACCGACCCCGCGUCGAUUCGCAAAGAAGGUUGGAUUCCUAUGAAGGAGGUGUUUUUGGAUAAGCAAGAUGUGAAGUUGAAUUUGAGGAGGUUUAAGCCUGUUUUGAAGAAAGCUCUUGCACUUCUCCAUACACGUAGUAGAGAGUAGCCUCAUUAGGUAUGUUUUGUUCAUAAUCUAAUGCAAAAGGUGUGUAGUUCAUUACUCAUAGAAGUAGAUAUGUUGUGGUAAUGCAAAAGGUGAAGUUUUGAAGAAUUGUUAUUUAAUAAUGUAAAACUUAUAAGAACAAAUUUGUUAAUGAUUAUUUCAUUAAUUAGUUAGGUUAUGCAAAUCAAUGACUAAUCCACUGAAUGGCUCAUCAAUUUUUGUACUAAUUGAAUUAAUGAUAUAUGAUACUUGUGUGACUCAAUCAUGCUGUUUGAGUCCCAUGCACAUUAGAUAGUGACUCUUUUGCACCGAAGUCCAUUGUUUUCACUAAUUUGCCAGAAUAGGACAUUUUCACUUCUUUUGUUGCAUACAUUUAAAGUUUCACAUUGAUCAUUUGAGAUUAUAAUACUAAAUUUGCAAAUUAACAAUACAAAAAAUGUCACAUUAUUGCAAAAAAAAAAAAAGAGCCAAUAGAUGAACAAUAGUGAAGUUUGGUGGGGAGUUAAGCAUCAACACAUGGUACAAAUCUUGAGAGACCUUGCUAGCAAUAAAUAAUAGAGUGUGACAUUGAUGGAGGUAUUAGAGUGGUCCUACCUAAGUUGUCCUAUAUAGUACUUGUCCUCAUGGAGCCAAGUUUUCAUGCAUUGGAACCCUAGACAAGGAGCAAGAGUAACAUUGAUUGAGGUAAAUUCAAAUAGCAUGAGUUAAAUCAUUUGGACAAAAAUUUACUGGCCAUCGUUAGUUUGGGGAUGAUGCGGAUGGACGCCAUGUGGCUUGUUUGACGGGCGCCCAUGAAAGACGAAAAAAAAAUGGUGCCCUAUGUUUUUAGAGAGAGAGAGAGAGAGAAAGCAACGGAGGGAGAGACAAGGGCGACCGUCGGAUGGCCACGCGGUGCCCUCCCGCAUUGUGCCCACGAUGCCCGGCAAAUUUUGUCCAAAUCAUUUGGGUUACAAUUUAUUGAGAACCCAUGAAUUUGUUAUCAUCAAAAUUUAUUAUUGGAUAAAAUGCAACGCAUAGGCCCUUGUGAAAUAGGUCCCUCAAUUUUAAAAAUUGAGAUAAUUACCUAUAUACCCAUCAAAACUUUGAAAUAUUUUAUACAUUCCUUUUUUUUUUUUUCGUUUCAAAUAUACCCCUCAUAUAUUUCUCUGUUAUUCAAAAUAAUCCCGUUGUUAAUACUCAUUAUGUCAUCUCGAGUUAAACCCAGAUUAAAUUUCUAUCCAAGUUUUAAAAAAAAAUUAAAAUAUCACUUUUGCUCCUAACUUAAAGGCAAAUAAGAAAAGUUGGUGAUAUUCAAAAAGUUAAAAUAUUCUUUUGUCCCUAACGUAAGAACGAAUAAGAAAAGUUAGUGACGGUAGAAGGAAUCUAAGUCUGGAGUGUAUUUGAAAAAAUUUGGAAUAAUAAAUGAAUUUAUUAUAUAUUAUUAAUUUUUUAAACUGGAUAAAUAAAAAAGUUUGAAAUUUUUCAGAAAUAUAUAAGUAAUUGUCUCUCAAAAGUUUUAUUAAAUUAAAUUACUCUGUUUGCAUUAGCUAGUAAUUAUCAUUUUAAUUAUAUUUAAUAAGAAAUUGAUAAAUAUCUCCAAAUUUGAUAGAAUUAAUAAUGGAUUGGAUACAAUUCUCAACCGCAUUCACUACAAUAUUAAUCAACACAUAAAAACUCAAGAGUUGAGAAGAUUCCAAUUCAAAGAAAAGAAAACUUGGGGGGGGCUACUUGUGAUAUGGAGACCAAUUGUUAAAUUUUAAAAACUUGGGAUGAAAAAUGGAAAAGAUAACAAUUUCGUUUUCACUGUAGGCUUAGCAUUCUCCAAAAAAAAAAUUUACUUUUUUUUUUUUAAUUUUUUUUUUUUUGAAGUACCGACAACUGCAAAGGUAAGUUAUUACAGGCGGUACCUCCACCACCCAAAGAAAAAGGUGAAAGGUUUUCUCAGCUUUUGUUUAUGGACCACUAGGCUAGAAGAAUAUAUAUAUAUAUAUAUAUAUAUAUAUAGAGUAGGAUUACUAUGCUAUUAGGAGUACAGCAGCCCUUGUGCUCCUAACUUUCUAACCACCCAUUAAGUUUGAUGGAUGAUUAGAAUGAAAGAGGGAAGAGAUAUUGGAGAGAAAUUUGGUGUUUCAAUUUCUCUUCUCCUUAAAUUUCUCUUCAAUAUCUCCUCCCUCUCUUAUUCUAACCGCCCAUCAAACUUGAUGGGUGAUUAGAAAGUUAGGAGCACAAGGNAAUUUUGAAAUCCUUUGAUCAUUAGGCAAAUGAUGUCGAAAAGAUUUGAAAUUUAAUUUCUAAACACUUCAAAUGGUAUAGAUCAUGUUCAAUGGUACCAAUCGUCGAUUUGGAGGCUCUAUCAUCGAAAACAAAUGGGUGAUAACGGAGCCUGUUUGCUAUCGAUAGUAUUCUAGCUCAACUCUCUCUCUCUCUCUCUCUAUAUAUAUAUAUAUUUAUUUAAUUUUAAAUUUUAAAAUUCAAAAUUAAAAUUUAAAAUAGUAAAUUAAAAAUUAAAAAUUAAAUAUUAAAAUUUAAAAUUUUAACAUUUUAAAAUUUAAAUUUUAAAUCAAAUUUAAAUUUAAAAAUAUAAAAUUUAAAAUUUAAACUUAUAAAACUUAAUAUUGAGAGUUUAAAUUUAAUUUAAUUUAAUUUAAUUAUAUUAUAUUAUAAAAUUUUAAAUUUAAUUUUUUAAAAUUUUAAAUUUUUUUAAAAAAUUUUGGGGGUGGGAACAGCUUGUUCCCACCCCUAUUAUGGAAUAGGGGUGGGAACAAGAAUAGGGGUGGGAACAAGCUGUUCCCACCCAUAUGGGUGGGAACAGUUUGUUCCCACCCAUAGCAAUAGGUGUUUGGUUACAAGGAGGGGAUAACCCCCUUAUACCCAUACCAAAUGGUACCCAAAUGAAUUAGAGGACUAUUGCUUUUUUUUUUUUUUUCUUUGAGAGAGAGAGAGAUAGGUAGCACGCUACCCAUUUCGUUAUUUCAUUAGAAAUAAAUUUAGCUAGAAAUGUAAAUCAACGAGUAUUCAAAUUUGGUUCUCGGAUACCAACCAACAAGCUUUUUGCCACUUACUUUAGAAACGGUCGGUAUAAGAGGACUAUUGCUAAAAGCUAAACUGGCUUUGUCAUGUUUCUUUUGCUCUUGGGGGUGGGGUUUGCUCUUCUAUUUGAGUAAACCAAUGUUUCCUCAUUUACUAUUGUGUUUUUUUUUUUUNUUUUUUUUUUUUGGCCUGUAAAGUACUAAAAGCAGCGGAGUUAAAAAAAAAAAAAAGAAUAGAAUAAAUAUGUACAUUUCGAAAAUAAUACGUGGAGUUAAAAAAUAAUAAUAAUAAAUAUGUACAUUUCUUCGUGAAGCACCAAAAGAGAGAGGCCUAAAACACUUAGCUGAAAAUAUAAAUCAAUUAAUGUUUGAAUUUGGAACUUCAAGUAUCAACUACUAAACUUUUUACCACUUGCACUAAGAAGGGUCAGUAAUUUUUGUGUAUUUUUUAAGAUAAAAAUAUAAAAAACUUACCUUUUGAAUUGGCUAUUUAACUUUUCAAAAUUUUGAUUUUAUAAUCUUUCAAUUUUUUGACUUGAGUCGGUCAACGACAUCUUGACUUCAAAGUUUGAAUCAAUAAUUCAUCUUUAUUUGUUUAGUUAAUACAUUUCAUUUAAUUCUCAGAACUACAAGUCUAAUAGUUAAUACAUUUCAUUUAAUUCUCAGAACUACAAGUCUAAUAAAAUAAAGUAAUUAGUUUAAAUUUUAAAGUCAAAAUACUGUUGACGAACUCAAAUCGAACAAAUUUGAAAGCUAGGAUAUUGAAAUCAAAAGUUUGAAAAGUCGAAUAGCCAACUCAAAAUAAUUUAUUGUUAAAUAUAACGAUCCAGCUCACUAGUAACAAUAAUAACUUAAAUACUGAAAGAACCCAUAGACAUACAGACCAUGAGAGAUUUUAAAUACUUCUGGCUGAUACAUGAUUUGAUACCAAAUAUAACGAUCUAGUCCACUAACAAUAAUAACCUAUUGGACUCAAACCAUCAACCAAAAUGCUUAAACUCAGUUAUUAUUAUUAGAGUUUACAAUCUUUUAUAUUUGUAAUUAGAACUCUUUUUUAUCCAUGUAGUACUAUUGGAAUAUUCUAGUAAAGUCAUUUUGUAAACUAAAAAAGAAAGAAAGAAAAGAUUCUAUCUUAGAUCAAGCGGGACAGAGACGAGGCGGGCCGCCUUCGCCUCCGCCAACCUCUUCGAAGAGAAAGAAAAAAAGAAUGAGAGAGAAAAAAAAAAAAAAAGGGAGAGCAAAAAGAGAAUAAGAAUAUUUUGACCAAAUCUCUAAAAAUUUGAUUCGAAUAUGUAAAAUUGGGCUUAUUUUUACAAAAUAUCAAAACUAGUAUUUUUUAUGCAAAUUGGCUUUUUUUUUAUUUAUUUUUUUUUAUUCAAAUGCGUUUCUCUCCCACUCCUCAAUUCUCCUCAAUUUUUUCUCAUUUAGCUUUUUGGUACCAUUUUAGUGGUGGCAUAUUUUUUUGGGAUAAUUUCAUAGAUGCCAUUCUAGAAAUUGUUAAUUUUAUCAAUAUCCUUCUAAAAUUGAUAAUAUCAUGAAUGCCCUCCAAUAAUGUUAAAAAUUAUUACAAAUGCCCUCUACUAGUUAAUGUCUGUUAAAAUUCAUCUGAAAUAGAGUUAAAUUUUCAAAAUACCAUAUUUACCCUUUAUCCCUUAUCAAUAAUAGAAAUACUAAUAGGUAUUUCAAGAUAAUUUUUGUAAAUCUAAAUUUGACUAUUUAAUGUAUAAAUGUUAAAUUAAUUAUUAAAUAAUAUAUUAAAAAUUGUAUUUUAUAUAUAGUGUGUUUUUAUAUGAUUUUGGUUUUGUUUUUGGGUUCGGAUUUUGGUUCAGAUUCGAUUUGGAUAUAGACCAAAAUCAUAACUAAAUUUGAAUACGAUGAGAGUUCAUUUUUUUUGUAUCUAUAACUGAAACUAUCCCUACUCAGCGUCCAUUAAGCUCAUCCCAUUCAAAAUUGAGUUCAGAUAAAAUUGUGUACCUGUAUCAAUUCACAUUCCUAAUCAGUAAUAGUAGUUUGAAAUAAAAUAUAUAUUUUAUUUUUUUCCUAUUUAAUCAAAAAUAAAUCACAUAACUAUAUCAAUAUGCAUGCUUUUUUUUAUCAAUUGAAAAAAAGAGACUUUUGCUCAAAAGCUUAAAUAUAUUAUAUUUAAGUUUUUAAUGCAUUUAAUGCAGAUAAAAUUAUUGAAAAUAAUUUUGGUUACAAAACUUUUAAGCUUCCAAAAUUAGAGAAAGAUCGAAAAAAUCCUCAACAUGUACUUUUAUUUAAUUUUUUAUACAUAGUUAAAAUAAAUAGAGCCACUGGAUUUGGUGAAAUCAUAAAAAAAACUAGAUAAAAUUUUUAUUUUUCAUACACUAAAAUUAGUUAAUUUUUUAAAAAACUAAAAGUUAAUGGGAUAUCAACUAAAAAAAUAAAAGUUGACGGAGCUGUUUCAAAACCGCAAAUAGUUGAGGGGUCUCCAUAUAUUUUUAUUAGAGAGAUAAUUGAGAGUAAAUAGGUCAUUUUAAAAGUUAGUCCAUCUUUAGUCAUUUAAUAAUUAUGGUAAAUCUAAUAUAACUAACGGUAGGAGCAUUAAUGAUAAUUUUUUAUAUUUAUAUGGGCGCAUGUGAUAUUUUAAACUUUGUAAGGACAUGCAUAAUAUUUUAAAUUUUGGAAGGGAUAUUUAUGAAAUUGAACCUUUUUUUUUGGUCCAAUCAGGUUUCGGGAGGAGAGAAAGUGGAUUUUUUGUUUUUUGUGGUGUCGCUUUGCUUUUUUCGAUAACACCUCCUCCAUGUGGCAAGUUUUUUGUGCCAUUUUGCUUCUUUAGUUUUUGGGAUUCGAAAUUAAUAAUAUAAAAAUUCAACAUUUUUUUUUGGUCUUUACAAAAUCAACUUGUUGAAUUUUUCAUUAAUUUAGUAACACCCACAAUUUUACUAGUUUUAAGAAUAAUUAUUAAUAAAUUUACCAUAAACAUUUGUACUUUUUUUUACUAUUUUAUAUGCUAGAAUUAAAAUGAUUAAUGUUGAAAAAGCAUACAAAAAUGACUAAAAUAAAUUUAAUUAGACAUAUAUAUAAUAACUUUGCAUUGAAAUAGUCAUUCAUGCAUCCACUAUAUAGCAUCAAAAUGUAUGGUAACGCCCUUUAUUGGUACUAGGUUUUUAGAUUUACCUUUUAAUUAAUAAUCAAACCUUGUUAUGAUAUCCUAAAUUUUUUGUAGGCCCCUCCACUAUAUGGUAUAAUUACAUCAUUACCUUUUAUCAUACAAGAAUUAAUAAACAACUUACUUAUGAUACCCUAAUUAAAUAAAUUUUUGUAGGCUCCACUAUAUGGCAUAAUUACAUAAUAAAAUAUAAUUCUUUCCAAAUACUAGCUUAUAAUAAUCUAACUUUGUUAUGACAUGUUAUUAUUAUUAGGGAAAACUUCGAAUACCACUCCUAUGGUUUCACACUUUCUCACUUUAGUAUCCUGCGGUUUAAAGUGUAUAAAUUUAGUACCAUGUGGUUUCAUUUUUAUCUUUUUAUUAUCGAUUCCACUAAUUUUUUUUCGUUAAAUUAGUGACAAAGUUAAAAUUAAAGGGUACUAAAGUGAAUAUUCGAUAAACCUAGGUGGGGUAUCUAAAGUUUUUUGUAUAUAAUUUAACGAAAUAUUAACGAAAAGCUGAUGAAAAGUGAAAAAUGAAACCACAGGGUACUAACUUGAUACACUUUAAACCACAGGGUACUAUAGUGAGAAAGUGCGAAAUCACAGGGGUAGUAUUUGAAAUUUACCCUUAUUAUUAUUAUUAUUAUUAUUAUUAUUAUUAUUUUGGGCUAGAAUUCUCAAAGUAAAUAUUUGGGACUCCCUUUUUUUUUUGGUAUGACUUUGGGCCCAUUAAGAGCCCACUAAUGUUAAUGGGCUUAACAUCUUGGUAUAUUAAGAUUGUUUUGAUCUACACUAAAGCCCAAAACGUUUAUGGCCAUUGAAUCAGCCUAUGAUAUGACAAUCAAAUGAUAAGGACUAUUGGGCUCUUUAAUUUGUGGUAUUGGGCCAGAGGUACCACUCAAGUUUUAUACAAACUGCGACAAAAUGAAAAUUUUGAUUAGAAACAUAUGAAACAUAUUUGAAACUAUUUGGAUUUAGCUAUUCAAUCUUUUAAAAUUUUAAUUUUCUUAUCUAACUUUUCACUCGUGUGAUUUGAGUUAGUUAGCAGCACUUUGACUUUAAAAUUUGAAUGUGUCGUUAUCUUUAUAGAUUUUAUUAGUAUAUUUCAUAUAAUUCUCACAACUGUAAGUUUAUUAAAAUAAAUAAUUAGCUUAAAAUUUAAAAUUAAAGUGUCGUUAAUCGAUUCAAAUCAAACAAAUUGAAAGGUUGGAUAACCAAAUUCCAAAUGGUCCAUAGUACGGAUUAGUUCCACACAUUUUUACCUCAGAAAUUUUGCAAAGAUAUUGAUUUAUUGAAGCGACUGUCGAAUAGAUGAAGCUAAUUAGCCAACUUCGCAAGGGAACUUGAACCAAAAAUCAAUUCCAAUUGUCGCAUCCCAAUAGUCCCCCAUCGAAAAGAAAUAAAUUAUGAAUAAAAAUAUAAGAAUUAGGGACUGUAAUACGAAUAACUGGGUUUAGUAUUUUGGAUGGAUCACUAUGUUAGUUUAAAGAGGCCGGUAUCUUGUCUUAUGAUGGGAGGCCGGUUUAGGUCCAGUCAUGUUCAAAAUGGUAAAAGAUCGGGUUGAGCAGAGUCAUCUUGGAAAUGGCGUCAGACUGGUUGGACUGAGUCAUAAUCAAGACUCGUGGAUGUUACAUCUGUACGUUUUAAAUGAAUCAGCUGUGUAUUUUUAACAGUUUGAACUUUUAGGAUUAACGAUUAGCCUCAUUGAUCCGACAAACUACUCCAACAUUCUUUUAAUUCUAUUUUUCAAGCGAUUAGUGCUCAACAACAAUCAUAGUAGCUCAUAGACAAAAUAUUAGGUGAAGAAUUUGACACCCAAACCACCACACAACCACAUGCCAACCCCUAAUUAAGAAUCUGACAUCCAAACUACCACAGGACCACAUGCCAUUUCAAUCUAGCACCCUUGUGGUUUAAGCUCCCCAGUGUAAAACAAGCAACUCAAGCAAAUACUCUCUCUCUCUCUCUCUAUCUCUCAAUCUAUCUAUCUAAGAUCACUCCCAAAUUAAGAGCACAUACAGUAGGGCCUAAGCAUGUUCACUGGGUCAACUACAAAAAAUGAACACUUCACUGUGUGAGCUCCACUACACCAGCUAUAAGCUUAGAGCCAUGCAUAAUUCCUUUUAUGAAAAUGGGGCAUGAAAUGAAGCUCCUGAGGUUCUUCAGCAGGAUUGAGCUGCAAAAGGUCGGUUUCGCGAUCGGCACGGGGUGUCUUCUAGUCUCAUUGAUAUAUGUUUCGGUGUUCAAGUUCGACGUAGUUUCGUUGCGUAAGUUCUUCAUUUUUUCUGAGGAUUGAUUAAUUCGCAGUUUUUUCGCCUCAAUUUUCCAGUUGUGUCACCUCUUAAUAUCAUCUUGUGCAGUGAAUUCAACAUCAUCAUCUGCUUUGAGUGCAUCCCCUUCGAAUCAUCGAGUCGAAGAUAUAGUUUGUUCUCAGCAAUUCGGUAAGUGAAAAAUUAGCUACAAACAAUGGAAAUCAUGUUCCUCAUCUUUACUAGAAUUUUUGUUAUUACAUUUACAAUUCCUAAUGAUGUAGUUUAGUUUUUAAACCUUUAGUUAUGCUGAAUCUGAGCUAUCAUGAACCAGUGUAUUGCUUUCGAUAGAGUAAAUAAUAACUAUUUGUUUUUCUUUCUUUUGUUUGAAGAUGAAAGAAGCGAAGAUUCGAUUCUCGGGAAGAAGCUGAUGUGCAAUUUCUCGAGCAGUAGAACAGAUAUAUGCGAAAUCGAAGGAGAUGUGAGAAUCCUGGGGAAAAACUCAUCCAUUUUUUUAGUCGAUUCGCGAGAAAUAUACGAUCCGUGUGGAGAUGAAACAUGGUGGAUCAAACCUUAUCCGCGCAAGUCGGAUAAAGAAGCCAUGAGGAAUGUUGGGGAAUUGACAUUGAGAUCAUUGAAUUCUCUCGAAGACGCCCCUCGAUGCACCGAUCGUCAUCACGAGCCUGCUAUCGUGUUCUCGGUUCGCGGUUACACGAAGAAUUACUUCCACGCCUUCACCGACGUGCUCGUCCCUCUCUUUGAAACUUCUUACGACUUUAACCGGGAGGUCCGGUUUCUCGUCACGGAUUUUAGGCCCAAGUGGAUGAACAGGUUCCUUCCGAUAUUCAAGAAUCUCUCGCGGUACGACGUGAUCAACCUCGAUAAGGACGACAGAGUUCUUUGCUUCCCUCGUGCCAUCGUCGGUUUGAGACGCCACGCCGACCUCAGCGUCGACCCUUCUCCGUCGCCUAAGGGCUAUUCAAUGGUCGACUUUGUGAGAUUCAUGCGGCGCGUAUAUUCGCUCAAGAGAGACUCGGUGGUCGGAACUAAAAGGCCAAGGUUGCUGAUCAUCACAAGGGAGGAGACGAGAAAAUUCGUGAACACAAAGGAUAUAGUUCACUUGGCGACGGAAAUGGGCUACGAAGUGGUGGUAUCAGAGGGUCAAGCAGAUUUGGCUCAAUUCUCGCGAGUCGUGAACUCAUGCGACGUGAUGAUGGGUGUUCACGGAGCGGGCCUAACGAACAUCGUUUUCCUCCCGACGAACGCGGUUUUGAUCCAGAUAGUCCCCUGGGGGGGACUAAACUGGGCCGCGAGGAUCUGCUUCGAAGAACCAUCAAAGGAAAUGAAGUUGAAGUACUUGGAGUAUAGUAUCAGCGAAGAGGAGAGCACUGUUAUAGGACAGUACAUGCGAAAUCACUCCGUGUUUAAAGAUCCCGGUUCGAUUCGCAAGCAAGGUUGGAAUGCUUUGAAGGAAGUGUUCCUGGAUAAGCAAGAUGUGAAUUUGGAUCUGAGGAGGUUUAAGCCUGUUUUAGAGAGAGCUCUUGAGCUUGUCCAUACACAUAGUAGAGAGUAACUUCACUAUAUAGGUAUGUUUUGUUUAUAUAUAUAUAUAGAGUCUAAUGCAAAUUUUUUUCUCUAUAUAUAUAUACAAAGUAUUCAUUUGUUGCCCAUGAGGGUGAAAAGAAACAUCUCAAUUGUGUAGUGCACAAUUCAUAGAAACACAUUAAUUUGUUGUAGUAAAGCAAAAAGGUGAAGUUCUCAAAGAACUGUAAUUUGAUGUAAAACUUAGAUGAGAACAAUUUUUUUGAUCAUUAGUUACAUUAACUAGUUAGGUUGUGCACAUCAUUUUCACUCUCCCCUUUUUGUGAACUUUUGUGCUAAUUGAAUUAAUUAUUUUCCUCACUUAAGCUAUGCAAAUUUUGCCGACGCAGAAAAGUCUAAAUCGAUCGACAAUUCAUGAAAUGGUAUUAACAAAUUAUCAGAAAAUAAUUAGGUGGAAAUAAUAUCAGCACCUUAGUCAUUAGAAUAUCUGGAUCCCAUAUUGCAAUUAAAGUGACCCUUUUGCACCGAAGUCCACUAUUUUCUCUAAUUUGCUAGAAUGAUAUGAUCAUACUGUUGGCUUAAAUGAGCUCGUAUCCUACCCUAUGGCGGGCUGCCAUGUUGGGCCGAGUCAGGUUCGAAAUGGCGUGAGGCUUGGUUGGCCAAGUCAUAUUCGAAGUGGCGUGAUGCUAUUUGGAUCAAAUCACAUUCGAGACCUGUGGGCGCUAUAUCUGUACGCUUUAAGUGAAUUGGUUACAUAUUUCUAACAGCUCGAGUUUUUGGGAUUAAUGGUUAGCGCCAACGAUUCGACAAGUGGUAUCAGGCUGCAAAUGUGUGCAGAUGCUUGAGGGGGGAUUGUUGGGCCAAGUCAUGUUCGUAGUGGCAUGAGGCUGGUUGGACCGAAUCACAAUCGAGACCCGUGGGUGCUGUAUCUAUAUGCUAUAAGUGAAUUGAUUGCGUAUUACUGACAGUUCGAGCUUUUAGAAUUAAUGGUUAGUGCCAACGAUCCGACACAUACUUUUGAAAUGCGGUUACAUACUUUAGAAAUGGUGUCAAUGAUUCAGAACUAUAUAUUCAUCAUGCUAAUUUGGCUUUAAAAGUUUAAAAGUAAUCUAAAUUUGCUGAAUAGCAACAAAAUAUCGCAUUAUUUGCGACGAAGGCCAAAAAUGAAUAAUAAUGAAGUUUGAUAGCCAGGAAGUAAAGCACCAAGAUUUAGAACAAAUCCCUGAGACCUUUCUAGCUUACCGACCGUCUCUAGCGCAAGUGGCAAAAGGGUUUUGUGGUUGGUACCCGAGACCCAAGUUCGAAUCCUAGUUGAUUCACAUUUCCAGCUAAGUUUAUUUCUAAAUAAAAUAAAUGAAACGGAUAGCAUGCUACUUUUCUCUCAAAAAAAAAAAAAACAAUAGGUUGUGAUAUUGAUGGAGAUCUUAUUUAGUAAAAAAUAAUUAAAAUUAUUAAAUUUGAUUAAAUAAACGAUGAACGGGACACACUAGCAUUCGAAAUAGUCCUAUAUAUAUAAGAUAUGAUAGGUCGAAAUCUCUUAAUUCGACUAUAGUAUGUUGGUCGGUGGCUAAGCCCAAAAGAUUAAAUAGUUUUAGGAUGAAUGAUCCCUUAAAAGUGAGGUAUCAUAGUUGAUAUCAGAGCCAAUCAUCAAUCAGAAAUAUGAGAUGAAUCUUAGCUGAGUCAGGAUUAUACAACAGGCAAAGCGCGCCUCUCUGAUUGAUGACUAUUGUGGGUGAAACGUGGCUCCACACAAGAUAAGCUAAGGUUUUAAUUUAAUUAACUAGAAUCAAUCAAUUCACUAAAAAAGUAAAAAGUUAAGGGAGCUUUUCCAAAGAGUUCUAUAGUUGGGGGGUCACUAUACAUUUCACCAAUUAUUUACUCACACUGUUGCAUUUCAUGUCCCUACUAAUGAUGUGGGGACUAAUUGGUCUUUACAGCCAUAAAGUGGCUUCCACCAAAUGAAUGAGACAGGUACUACUACUGACUCCUAAGAGCCAUAUAAAUUGGGCUUGUAAUGUACCUCUUUUGCUUGUGAGGACCAUAUCACAUGUUUACCAUGCUACAAUAUUGCUCUCCUAUUUAAUAAUAUUGAAAUCUAUGCUUCACUUACCAUGGGAAAAGUUCUUGUGAUUUUUAUGCGACACCCAAAUAGAACAAAAAUAGUCAUAUUAUGUUUUAAAUAUUUUUGUGCGAGUCGUUGUACUUGAAAGUUAUACUAGCUUGUAGCACAUACUGUUAGGAUUUGGUUAGAUUUGUAGUUAAAUUCUAUUUGGAUAAGAAUUAAUAUUUAAAUCUGUUUGAGAUAAAUUAAGAUUUAAAUAUUAAUUAGAGAAUAAACCUAACUAGAUUAAGAUUAAUAUUUAAAUCUAUUAGAGAUUGAUUAAGAUAGAUUUAGAUAUUAAUUAAAGUAUGAAUCCUAAAUAUAUUAGGAUUGGGGUAUGUUUUAAGUUGAGCAUUAUAAAUAGGCAUUAUGGCUCUCUUUUUUGAGAGUAGUACGGCUGGAACCAUUAGGGUGUCGUACCAGAGAGAGAAAAAGAGAGAGAGUUAUUUUAGUGCACCUUGUGUACGGGUGCACGCGGAGAGGUCUUCUUUGUCGGUUUAUAGAAGACGAGAGAAAGGUAGGAGAGAUUCAAAAAAAGGGCUAGGGUUGUAGCUACUCUGUUGCAGAAGAGGAGUCAGGUGUAAUAUUCUCUUAUUUAAUUGAAUAUUAUUUUACCCGCAUAUUUUCUGUUUUGAUUUUUUCUCUCUUUUAUGAUUGUAUCAGCUUUUGCUGAGGAGACGGGUUUAUGGUAAAAACCCGAUUCGACGCUUCCGUUGCGGAAUCCCAACAAUCGAUACCGGAUCCACAGCAGUCGGUAUCGGAGCGGGUUGCGGAUUCACGAGAUCCGGUACCAGGGCGAGUACCGGAUUUCCAACAAGUGGUAUCAGAGCCAGGUUACCGAUCUGCGGGAGAGAUCGACGGAGAUGACCACGAAAUUCGAAAUCGAGAAGUUCGACGGCAAUAACAAUUUCGGAUUAUGGCAAAUUAAAGUACGAGCAAUCCUCGUACAACAAGAGUUGGACGAGACGUUGAACGAGAAGGAGGCGAAGCCGGCGGAGGUCACGGAUGCGGCAUGGACGAAAAUGGAGCGGAAGGCGCUGAGUACGCUUCAUCUAUCAUUAGCAAUUGAGGUUCUUUACAAUGUAGCCGGUGAGACGACACCGGCGAAAUUGUGGAAGAAAUUGUAAGAUCUGUACAUGACCAAAUCCCUGACGAACAGAUUGUAUCUGAAGCAGCGACUGUUUACGUUGCGGAUGCAAGAAGCGGCGAGCCUACAUGAUCAUCUAAAUGAGUUCAACAAGGUGGUGGCCCAGUUGACCAGCAUCGGAGUCAAUCUGGAUGACGAAGACAAGGUGUUGAUCCUACUAUCUUCGCUACCGACGACAUAUGAGCAUUUGGUGACCACGUUGCUUUAUGGCAAAGAGUCCAUAAGCGUGGAGGCGGUCACGGCGGCGCUUCUCUCGAACGAGAUGCGGAAGAUGACUCAGGGGUCCGGCACGCAAAGUCAGGAUGUAGGACUGGUGGUGACUGCGAAGAAAGAGGCGAGAAUAUCGGCGACCGGAUAUCGACAGAAGAAACCGCUAUCUGAGGUAGAAUGCUUUUACUGUCACAGGAAGGGGCAUAUCAAGCGCAAUUGUCAAAAACUUCAGGAUGAUCUGAAGGAGUUAAAGUGACAGAAGGAGCAAACUGUCGUGAACCAGGACGAGACGGUAUCAGCGACGGCGCAGACAGCAGAGUCGGAGAUGAUCGAUUCUGAUGUGCUGUAUGUGGCGACCGGAGGUGCGAAAAUUUCGGACGAUGCAUUGGUGCUCGAUUCGGCGUGUUCUUUUCACGUAUGCCAGGAGAAGGAGUCUUUUGCCACCUAUAAGGCGAUCAAAGGUGGAAAGGCGCUGAUGGGGAACGGGACAGCGUGCAAAGUAUUGGGAGUCGGCAUGGUGAAAAUCCGAAUGCACGAUGGGGUCGUGAGGACGCUGACAGGUGUGCGGCACGUUUCUCGAUUGAAGCAGAAUUUGAUCUCGUUAGGCGCAUUGGACUCGAAGGGUUGCAAUAUUUCAGCUUCAGGUGGAGCUAUGAGUGUCCGAAAACGAGAUCGGGUCGUAUGCGAGGCGAACAAGCGUGGGAACUUAUACGUUCUGAACGGGAGCACAGUCAAAACGGGAGCGAAGACGGUCUGGGUUCCGAAAGUUCGCGGAGGUGCAGUCACUCGAGGCGAAGCGACGGAUGCGGCGACAUCGAGCGGAGGAGACAAGCUCAAGGUGGAACUUGCAUGGUGAGCUCGUGUAGCGGUUGAAAAUUACAAAUCAAACCAAGGUGGAGAAUAUUAGGAUUUGGUUAGAUUUGUAGUUAAAUCCUAUUUGGAUAAGAAUUAAUAUUUAAAUCUAUUAGAGAUUGAUUAAGAUAGAUUUAGAUAUUAAUUAAAGUAUGAAUCCUAAAUAUAUUAGGAUUGGGGUACGUUUUAAGUUGAGCAUUAUAAAUAGGUAUUAUGGCUCUCUUUUUUGAGAGUAGUACGGCUAGAACCAUUGGGGUGUCGUACCAGAGAGAAAAAGAGAGAGAGAGAGUUAUUUUAGUGCACCUUGUGCACGAGUGCACGCGGAGAGGUCUUCUUUGUGGGUUUAUAGAAGACGAGAGAAAGGUAGGAGAGAUUCAAAAAGAGGGCUAGGGUUGUAGCUACUCUGUUGCAGAAGAGGAGUCAGGUGUAAUCUUCUCUUAUUUAAUUGAAUCUUAUUUUACCCGCAUAUUUUCUGUUUUGAUUUUUUCUCUCUUUUAUGAUUGUAUCAGCUUUUGCUGAGGAGACUGGUUUAUGGUAAAAAUCAGAUUUGACGCUUCCGUUGCGGAAUCCUAACAAUCGAUACCGGAUCCACAGCAGUCGGUAUCGGAGCGGGUUGCGGAUUCACGAGAUCCGGUACCGGGACGAGUACCAGAUUUCCAACACAUACUUGGUAAUGCAAUUGAAUGGAAUGAGCAGGCCGCGUCAAUCAGGUGUUGAGCGAUAUAGUCAUGCUUCUUCCAUAAGAAAAUUUUUCUUUCUGACUUUUAAAAAUCUACAUUUUAUCUGCUUAAAUUUUUUAAAAAAAAUUUAGGAGGGUACGGCGUUCAAUGGAGAGGGCAAAAUGACUAAAUUACCCUUAUUUCUUCCAUAAGAAAAAAAAUAUAAUUUUUUAAUAUAUUUCUGUCAUUUUGAAGAGUGUUUUCGAUAUAAAUUGUAAGAAAUGGACGGAAUAGUGAUGAAAUCCUGAUAGAGGGGGGCUAAAUGCAACAACUUGAAAUAGUGAGAGGGUAGAAUAUAGAUUUUUUUAAGUUAAAAACAAAAAAUAAAAAAGUGAAUAUUUAGAUGGGGAUUUUCUAUAAUUUAGUCUUUUCUUUUUUUUUUUUUGUAUCUCUUUUGCUAGAAUUCCCAAGGUCAAUUGGGAUUCCCAUGUUAGUAAUUCACUAUGGGCCCAUCAACAGCCCACUAAUUAAGCAUUAACAGGCUCUUACGUUUUCGUAAAGCCCAAGUUAUCUUGAACCAUACAGAAGCCCAAAGCAUUUAUGACUGUUGGAUUAGCACAAGAUACGAAAAUAAAAGCAUAAGGACUAUUGGGCCUCUUUAGGUAAAUACUAUCUGUUUGGUCCAGCUUCUGCUUUUAUAUUUGACGAUAAUCAUCUCGAGCAGCGUAUAUGACAAAAAUAGAAAGUUUAGUGUUUCUACUGUAGUGGUAAUGAAAAAUAAGAUUCCGAGACCGUAGAGCAGACCUCUAAUUUAUUUAAUUAUUUACUUUUGCUUUAGAGAAUCUAUUAACAUAAUUUUACUACAACGUUUUUUUGUUUUAGAUAAUAUUUUAUCCGACAACACGAUACCUUAUAUCUUUCGAUGAGAAUUCACUCGAGUCUAGCAAGUUGUACACCUCUAACCUAAAGAGGGCCGCAGUGAUGAGCGGCUAACGAAGAUGGAGCAAAAGGCGUUGAGUACUUUUCAUUAACAAAUAAAGUCGUCUGCAGCGUAAGCAAUCAGAAAACAUUGAUAAGAUUAUGAAUAAAACUUUGAAAAUAUCUGUACAUGACUAAAUUCUUAACGAACAGACUGUAUUAAAACAAAGACCGUGCGCACCUCAAAUGUUGAAAUAACGAUAAUUAAUUUAAUCUACUGAGGCGCAAAUAAUGCCUACCAAAAGGACAAGAAGCCGUUCAUUAUCAUUUAUAAUUGACUCUUGAAGAAUCCAAGAACAAGCACUUGCAUAUUUCUUUAAAGAAUCCAAGUACCCUACGACUUGUAGCUAACAGGGGUACGAAAAGAAGCAUCAAUGAGCCAGUAGAAGCCUCCAAUUUAAGUACCUCUUUUGCCGAUAUUUGUUAGAGGUGUAAACGAGCGGAACAUGAGCGAGCUAAGUUAUGAGCUCAAGCUCAGCUCAUGUAUAAUUCAUUAGCUUAAAAGGUCUAGCAUUUCAUUCGAAAUGGAGAGAGGUCGGAUUGGAUCGAGUCAUGUUCGAACUAGUGAGAGACUGAUGGAAUCGAGUCACAAUCGAGAUCUGUACACGCUGUGUUCGUUGUCGGAUUGUUGGCGCUAACCAUUAAUCCCAAAAACUUGAGCAGUUAGAAAUACACAACUAAUUCACUCAAAGCGUACAGAUACAGUGUCCACGGGUCUCGAUGUGACUCGGCCCAACCAGCCUCACGCCACUUCAAACAUGGCUCGACCCACCCAGCUUCACGUCAUUUCAAAUAUAAUUCAGCCCAAUAUGACCUUCCGUCACAGGGCAGGAUGCUGACCCAUUUAAGUCAACAUUCGUAUACUUUGAGUGAAUUGGCUCACGCCAAUGAUCUGACAAGCUAGCUCGAGCUUGAGCCUGUUCAUUUAAUUGAGAGUUGAACUUGCGUUAGUCGUGAACAAAUUAUUGAAGGAUUUAUUCCGAGUACUUGAGGAACGUGAGAGCUAAAGAUUAUUGUUUCUAUUUGUUUCACAUAGAAACUGUUGUUUUUUUUUUUUUUUUUUUUUUUGAGAAAUAGGUAGCAUGCUACCCGCGCUUUGUUUAUUUCAUUUAGAAAUAAACUUAGCUGGAAGUGUGAAUCAACUAUGAUUCGAACUUGGGUCUCGGAUACCAACCACCAAGCCCUUUGCCACUUGCUCUAGGGACGGUCGGUGAAACUGCUAAGUAAAUAAUGUUGCUAAGAAUAAUUAUAUUAGUAUAAAAUUUGUAAUUAUUCUUUGUAUGAUAAGCUAAUGCUUAAUUUUGCUACAUAAAUUUUCUAUAAUAAACAUAUUCCACAUUAUUUGCAUCUACAUUUUAUGUUGUCAACUUGGAUUGACGCAAAUAAGUGCGAGCUAGUCGAAGUGGGUAUUAAUUCCUCAAAAAAUUAGAAAAAACUAUUUUUCCAAAAAUAAAAGUGUUUUUAUACAAGAUAUUUUUUUCUUUAUUUUUCGUUUUACAGAUGAAAAACUUGAAAAACAAAAAGAGAACUUUUCCGUAAAAAUUGAAAAUUAUUUUUCUAAAAAAAGUACUUUUUUAAAUAAAUAAAUAUUUUGUUUAGCUAGAAAAUUGCUUGCUGAGAUUAUUUCUGAAGAAUCAAACACCCUCUAUGCUUAAGUUUGCUUGCUCAUAUAUAUAGUCUCCAAUGGAAUACGAAUUAAUUAAGAGCUAAAGUUUUAAAUUUUAGAUAGAUUAUUGGUCCGAAAUCUAUCGAUUUAACUUCAGAUUGGAUGAGUUUUACUAGAUACGUUGCAUUUUUAACUCAUCUUGGUUCGUGCUACACCCCUUCGAAGUUGGCAUGUUCCAUCUGUACAGCAGAGCCUGAGUUCACGCGCAUUGAGUGCGAAGUCACGAGUUUACGCCAUGCACAAACUCUCUGUUUGGUGAGACAGAUUCAAGCCUAAGAACCGCAUAGGCCAUACGAAACUCGAGCUCUGCAAUUUCGUCCAAACACCCGCGAACUCUGGUUACAAAAACUCAACCACUUCAACCCUGGCUUAAUUUGAUCAAAACAAGCAUGCUUCUAAUCUUCUUAACUUUGGAUGUGCUUCAAUGGAUAUGUUAUUGACUUAAUCUUCAUAACAAAACACACAGAAAAUUUUCAUAGAGAAGAUUUUUUACAUAGAAAUCUAAGUUUUGUUUUUUUUUGUUUGUUUUUUUUGGUAGGUCCAAAGGACUCUGCCCCAUUAAUAAACGAGAAAAUGUAAAACUAGAGGCUCGAAUCUUUGACCUCAUAAACCGGCACUAGAAGUACUAAAAUAAUGUAUGGGGAAAAGAGUAACAUUAUGUUGUGUCUAUUAAGAUUGUUUAGUAUUUUCAUUUUAUUUCUGAAUAAAAUCUGAAAAAAGAGUAACAUUAUGUUGUGUCCAUUAAGAUUGUUUAGUAUUUUCAUUUNAUUUCUGAAUAAAAUCUGAAAAAAGAGUAACAUUAUGUUGUGUCCAUUAAGAUUGUUUAGUAUUUUCAUUUUAUUUCUGAAUAAAAUCUGAAAAAUCGUUCUCUAAAUAUCUGAUUUUUUACUUUUUCUUCCUUACUUUUAAAAUCUACAUUUUACUAUUUUCAAAUUUCAAGUUAAUGCAUUUGGACCCCCUCCGCUAGGUUUUCGUCACAAUUCUGUUCAUUUCUUAUAAUUUAUAGCGUAAAUGCUUUUGAAAAUAACAUAAAUAUAUUAAAAUUUUAUUGUUUCUUAUAGAAUAAAGGUAAUUUUGUUAUUUUUUUUCUUAUAGAAUAAAGGUAAUUUUGUUAUUUCGCCCUCUCCUAACUUCUUGAAAAUAUUUUUAAAAUUUUGUUAUUCUAUAUUUCUUAUAGAAUAUAGGAUGCUGAAAGUCAAAGGAGAAAAAAAAAAAAAGAUAUUUAAAUAGAUUUUUUUUUUUUUUUGGUAUUUUAUCCUUUUUUUUGUUUUUGAAGUUAUGACAUGAACUCUCAACCAAAGGAGGAAGUCUAGUGUGUAACACUUACACCACAUCAUCAAUAACCAGCCAAUCAUAUAUAUCUUUCGAUAAAACUACUCAAAAUCAAUUGGCAAGAGGUCAAUGAUUAUGUGAGUUGCUUAAAUAAUCCCAAUCAAACCCUCUCAUGGUGGAAAAGCAAAUAGCUACUAUUUAUACCGGAGUAAAUGGAUAUAUAUCUUGAUCCGUUAGAAAUUGGACACGUAAAGAAAUUUCUUAUUCAGGGUACUCCCGAAAACAGAUCCAGUGGAGACGGGUUGGGGCUUGUAGCUCAGAGGAUUAGAGCACGCAGCUACGAACCACAGUGUCGGAAAUUCGAAUACUUCCUCACCCAUAGCUUUCCCAAAAAAGCAAGGCCCUUACUUUACCACUAGAGUAGGAAAAUCAUGAUUGGGAUAGCGGAAGCAAAGCUAUGGCUAGCGCCCAUAGUGUGAGGGGCGAUGUGUACAUGGUCUGGGAACAAAUUCAUCGCCGUAUCGCUGACCGGCGAUUACUAGCGAUUCCGACUUCAUGCAGGCGAGUUGCAGCCUGCAAUCCGAACUGAGGAUGGGUUUUUGGAGUUAGCUCACCCUUGUGGGAUCGCGACCCUUUGUCCCGUCCAUUGUAGCGCGUAUAUCGUCCAGGGCAUAAGAGGAAUGAUGACUUGAUGUCAUCCUCACCUUCCUCCAGCUUAUCACCGCCAGUCUGUUCAGGAUUCCAAACUCAAUAGUGACAACUAAACACGAGGGUUGCGCUCGUUGCGGGACUUAACCCAACACCUUACGGCAUGAGCUGACGACAGCCAUGCACCAGAGAGAAGUACAAAAAAAAUAUUUUUUUAUUAACCAUAAAAGGAUUGGUAAUCCAAAGGAAACAAUCUAAUUGGCUGGAGACGCUAUAUCAGCAAUAUAAUCGGUGCAUUCUAAAAUUUUUUCAACUAAAAAGAAUGAUGUUUUUCUUUUUUUUUUAAAAAAAAACCUAACUCUUUUUGGUGGAAGAGUGUUCUAACGACCAGGGAGGUCUUCAAAUGUGGUAUCUCUUUCACAAUUGGGAAUGGUCAAAUGGUUAAUUUCUGGAUUGAUAUCUGGUGCGAUCGAGCUCCACUGCGAAUUUUAUAUCCGUGUAUCUUUGAUAAGACCACUUCGAAAAACUCCAAAGUGAAGGAGUGCUGGGGGAGAAAUGGGUGGAAGUGGCAUAAGAUUUUGUCAGGAUUCACCCCUUCGACCCCGAGAGACUGCGACCAACUUUCGAACUUCAAGGAGUUACUUGUUACGAUUUCUCCAAGUAAUUCACAGGACGAAGUAAGAUGGAGGUGGACACAUUCCGAAACGUUCUCGAUCAACUCGGUAUAUAAAUUCCUUAUGGACAGUGGAGUCAGAGUUGACAGUUCCGUACGUCUAUGGAAGAUCAGAUUCCCUCUUAAAGUCUAGAUCUUCGUUUGGCUUGUGCUGAAAAAUAAGGUGCUCACCAGGGACAACCUUCUCAAAAGGGGCUGGAAUGGAAAUAAAAAUUGUGUUUUAUGUCUAGACGAAAAGGAGACUGCGGAUCAUCUCUUCUCUGGCUGCACCUACACCACAGCUUUACUGAAAGGUUUGCUACCUAAUAAACUACUCUUUAACAAUCGCCCUUCCGCGAAGGAGUUUGGAAAAAGAGUAGUGCCAAAAAGGGCGCACAUGGGGAUAUAGAAAUGUUGACCAUCGCUGCAACGUGGUGGGUAUUAUGGUUGGAGCGCAACAAACGAAUUUUUCAGUAAUCAAGAUGGGCGCUGGGGAGUCUGUUUAUGGAGAUCAGAGUGCUUAGAGACUCGUGGAAUCGCUCAUGUAGUUGAUCUGUGUUGUUUUUGUUUUUCUUUCCCUUUUCUUCUUUUCUUUUUUCUUUUGUCUUUCUUUUGUUUUUCUCUUGUACUUGAGUUUGGCUUUUAUAUUUUCCUCUUUCUUUUCUCUCGGGGUCUUGGAUGUCUCAAUUUGUAACUAAGUUCACUCCCUAGUUGAAUGAAGCGGUAGUAUGCUAUCUUUUCUCAAAAAAAAAAAAAAAAAAAAAAAAAAAAAAAAAAAAAAAAAAAACCCUCUCAAAUCAUACUAAAAAAAUAAUUUAAAUAAACUUUAUGUUAGCCGUUCAUUACUCUUUAAAUGAAAACGGUUAUUAGUUGAUGUUAUAAAUGGUGAAAAAGUCUAAAUCAUAAUAAAAAAAUAAUAAAGUGAACAGGGCCUAAGAUUGCGCUUUUAAUUUUUAAAUUUAUUAGGUACUCAGUACUCUCGAUCAUGACCUGACCUGGAUUAAUUAACAUUAAAUUGUACAACACAGUUGAACUAACACGCAUCAAUUGUAAUCAAAUUAUCGUAGCUAUUAAAUAUUAUUUGAUACUAUAAUUUUAUUUUUUUCAAGAAAAAAGAAAAAAAUAUUAUAAGUAAUUAUAUUAAACCCUCAACGCGUAUAAUUUAUAACUAAUUUUACUUAGUUAUAUAGAUACAAAAUAUAUUUUAUACAUUAUAUAUUUGUGUAAACGCUUAAUCUGUAUGGGCUUAUGCAUAAAAGAACCGCAUAUAGUAAUAAAAAAUAAUAAAUUUAAAUAGUAAUAUUUAUAGGAUUGUUAGUGUGAGACUCUUUUGGAGUAUAACAUACAUAAGUACAUACUAUGAAGUAUUUAUAUAAAUAUUUAAUUUAAAUGAUAAAUUUUUGGUAGUUAUAAUUGUAAAACUCUUUUUAAUAUUAUACACAUAAUUUCUUUUUUUUUUUAAUAAGACAUAUAAGAAAAUAUUAAAUCUAAGAUAUUGCCGAUUAAUUAUAAAAGAUAUAAUAAUAAUUUUAAUUCAUAAUUUUUUUAUAUAAAGUAUAUAAGUUUGAAAAACUUAUACAUUAAUACUAAAUAAAUUAAACUAAAUUUAUUGCCCCUUAAUUAUUUGCUAUCAAAAAUACCACCCGAACUUUUUAGGGAUAAGUUGUUAUUUUACAACUUAAUUCUUAUUUAACUAAACUUUAAUCAUGGCAAAAUAACAAUCCAUUAAGAGAGUGGAGGGAAAUCAUGAUAAUUUUCUACAUUUGAAGGGAUAUGCAUGAUAUUUUUAAGUUCGCAGGGGUAUUUGCAAUAUUUAUAUAUUUGAGAGGGGUAGUGAUGAAAUUGUCCCUAAAUUUUAGUUAGGGAUAUUAAAGUAAUUUUAUGUCAUGCAUUUUAUAUGUAAGGUAUAUAUUCCUUCUAUACAAACUAACAUGGUAGCAAUACAAACUAACAUGGUAGCAUGUGAUCUUGAGCAAUAAUUUUUCCUUUUUUUUUUAAGGAUAUAAAUUUCAAAUACCAUCUCUGUGGCUUCACACUUUCUUACUUUAGUAUCAUGUGGUUUAAAGUGUAUACCAUGUGAUUUCAUUUUAUCUUUUCGUCAGCUUUUUCGUUAAUAUUUUAUUAAAUUAUAUACAAAAAGCUUCAGAUACCCCACCUAGGUUAAUAGAAUAUUCACUUUAGUAUCAUUUAGUUUUAACUUUGCAUUGAUUUAACGAAAAAAAAAAUAGUGGAAUUAAUAAUAAAAAGAGAAAAAUGAAACCAGAGGAUACCAAAUUGAUAUACUUUAAAUCAUGGGGUAGUUAAGUGAGAAAGUACGAAACUACAGGCGUGGUAUUUGAAGUUUUUCCUUUUUUUUUUUUUUUUUAAGUGCUCCCACCUCCUUUUUAAUAAAUCCAAUGCAAGUUUCAAUGAUUCAUGUCUUAAAACCAUAAUGUAAUUUGAUAGAUACAUUCUGCACCAUCCAAAAUAUUUACGUAUAAGAAUGUAAAAUAUUUGACAAUUUAUUAAUAAGACAUCAAGUAGUAGUCGCAAUAAUCAACAAUAUAUGGAGGGAAAGAAUCUCUCGUUUGUGAGAAAUAGAGGUCCAAAAUUUAUAAUUUUAAACAUAUAAGUAUUUUAAAAAUUGUUGAAUAUAUUAUGUAAGUCGGAUUCUGAAUGGAAUGUAUUUAUACACCUGGUCUUUUAGAAACCAUACUUAAUUUCUCUUUUAUUCCCAUGUCUUUUUAAAAAUUUUAUUUCGUCCUCUUAAAAUUUAGAAUUGUAGCACUUAAUUCGGCACUAUUACAGAUUUUUAUCGCAAUUUCGUGUACAAAUUGUAUAUUAUAGUUACGAAACUUACUGAAAUACCUAUUAUAUCCUUAGAAAUGAUAUGAAUGCAUAAAAACUUUAUAUUUUCUCUCGGAGUAAAUAACUUUUGCAAUUGAUUGCCGACUAUCAACUAACUGACUUUUCUUUUUUCAUCAUUUCUAAGGAUUAAAUGAGCAUAUUAAUAAUUUCUCGAUUAUACCAUAUAAUUUUAUAUAUAUGGAAGAGUAACGAAAUUAUAAUAGUAUUACAGGAGUGUAAAAUACAAAAGUAAAUAUUUAUAGAAUAGUUUUCUGUACUUUACUCUAUUACUAAUGAUAAAUAUGUCGGCUAUUUAUUAUUUGGUUAAAAUAUAUUCAACUUUUUGCCCCGUAACAAUAGAUUGAGGACACUAAUAAGUUGAGUUGGAUGGGCCUAAUAAGUUGAGUAGAACUGCGGUUCACAAUAGACGUAACAUCUAAAUGAGUUGAAUCAAGUUGAAAUCCAUGAGCCUAGUGGUUGAGCCUUUAAGUGUAUGCGAUGGAUGUGUCCUUACUAUUAGUACGCAUUUUUGAGAUAGUUGAUUAGUACUUACUAUCCACAAAAUACAUACAAAUACAUACAGAUUGAUUUAAUGUAAUCUAUACAAUCUAUUCAUGUCAUUCCCCACCUACUCCCCAAGGAAGUGCCCUAAACAUGAAUAAGAAAUUAGUAUUUGUGAUGCUAAAGUCCAUGGAGGAAGUGGUCAUAGUUGGAUGCUUGUGGAAUAUUAAACACUUAUUAUUGAUCAGAGACCAUUUUAGAGCCCCAGAUUUCAAUGUGAGAAUAUUUCAUCUCUUCUCAUUGUACUUGAGCUGCCAACCAAACAUCCAAAAAGUCUCCCUCUCCAAUGGACAAAAGACAAAAGAAUGAGUCUUCUUGCACUCUUUCUUGCAUCCUCUUUUUAUCUUUGAUAGCUCAUUAUAACCAAAAAUGAUGUACUAAUAAUGGUUGCACCAAGUGCAUUUGUAUAUCCAUGCACCGCAAAUUAAUAUUGUAGCUCUCUUUUUCAUUUCCACACUGAUUUCGAUUCCUAUUAUUGAACUUUUCAGUAGAAACGUCAUUCGGUUCUUUCACAACUUGGAUCUUACGCACGGGAUGAUCACCCAUCUAAAAUUUCUUUUCUAUUUCGGUUCUAAAUUCAAUUCUUACGGCUGUACUUUUCAGUAGAAAUAGCAUUCGGUUCUAUUUACAACUUGAAUCCUGUGCAUCGGAUGAUCAUCCAUCUAUAUCUCUUUUUCAUUACUUUUCUAAUUUCAAUUUUUACUGUUGAACUUUUCGGUACGUAAAAACAGUAUAAUAUUCGAUUCUUUCACAACUUAAAUCCCACGUAAUAGAUGAUCACCUAUCUAAAAUUUCUAUUCUAUUUCGUCUCUGAAUUCAAUUCCUACAGUUGAACUUUUAAGUAGAAAUAGCAUCUAGCUUUUUCACAACUCGAAUCUUGCACAGAGUAAUCCCCCAACGGAUGUGUGGUGGAAUGUAUUUCCACUGCAUGCAUUAAAAUGGCUCAAAUAUGUCCUCCUCCGAAUGCAUGGUGGAACCGCCUUAUGCACAAUAUUUUUCUACCCACGGUACCUAUUGCAUGCGAAGUGGGUUUGAAGAAAGUAAUUCUGUAACUGUCCGAAUAGAAAAGAUUAAAAUGAAAGAUAUGAUGGAGAUUAGUUGGUGUUUCCGUGGUGCACAGAUGUAGCGGUGCACCCGGUGCACCCAAUAAUUUUUCUAUUCCCUAGUUGUUCGUAUUAUUAGGUGAGGAAAAAGAAACCGUUGGACUAAAUCAGAGAGGUUCACUUCAUUUCAUUCACCUUAUAACACAUGGCUAGUGCUAUUUUUAAUUAAUAAAUUUAAAACUAAACAACAAAAAACUCUCUAAAUGUUUGUGUUGUUCACACUUUGAUCCUUUUACACCGUCAAACUUUUACAUCUGGGUCUCCUACUCUUAUACCAAAUUAAAGAAUAUAAAAUAGUAAUUUACCUCUAAAAACUUAAUAAAUUAUCAAAAGAAUAGUAGUUUUAAUUUUUUUUUAUUCAACAAUACCAAGAUGGUUUACCUACAAAUUUUAGCUUCUUUUAACAUAGACAAAAACAGUAACAUCAAUCAACCCCAAUAAAGAAUCCCUGAGGAGGCUUCUUUGAAGCUCCUUCCCAUGGUGGUUUUGGUUCCUUAAGGUGCAAACCCUAAGAGAGAGAGAGAGAGAGUAGAGAGAGAAAGAGAGAGGUGAAGUAAGAGAAAGAGAAGGGAAUAGAGAGAGAGAGAGAGAGGGGGAUGGGGGAGGUGAAGGUGGUGAAAACCAUAAGCAGGGCUUUAUCUCAGAGCCAUGUUGGCUUUGCUCUGUUUGGGUUCUUCUUGGUCAUCCUCACAUAUUUCACAGUUUUUGAGCAGUUCUCAACUAGGCCCCCUAAUGGUAAAUUAAGUCUCUUUCUUUCUCUAAAAUUUAUUAUGUACAAUCACCUAUAAAUCACUCAAAAAGCAAGAAAAAGAAGAGGAAACAUAUAUAUAUUGUUCAUUGAAUUCUUUGUUACUCAUUGGUUUCUCCUUUUCUUUUAUUAUUUUUCAUGUAUUUAUGCAGCACUUUUGCGAACUUCGCCGGCGGUUUCGGCGCAAAUGAAUCCAAAGGAGCAGGAAACAGAUGCUCUGAAGAAGGAUGAUGGGAUUAAACUGGAGGAGAAACCAACACCUGCUGUGGAUUUUCAUGGUGAAGAGGACAAUAAGAACACAGGUAAUCAAUAUAUGUAAAUUUGACUUGAAUUAUAUAUAAUCCUAAUGAUUGAAAUUGAAUUGUAACUGUUCAUACAAAUUGAUUUUGGUAAUAUCAGAGAAUGAUAGAAGAAUAGAAGAUCAUGAGAACCACAAGGAGCCUGAAGAUGCUGAAAAGAAAGAUGGAGUUGAUUCCAAGCAAUUUGGUGUGCAAUUUCAUGAUUUCCUUCUAACUUCAAUCCGAUAAUUUUCGUAGUUCAAUCAGUAACACAUCUCGAAUUAUGUUUUAUGAUCUUGCGAUAUUCAGGCCACGAACCCGAGAAGAAGGAAGAAAACGAUUCCAAGCAAUUCGGUACGCGGGUUUGCUUUCGCGAUUUCAAUCCAACAGUAAAAGAAAAAAAACAUAUUCAAUUAGCGACAAAAAUCGAACUAAGAUUUGUGAUCUUUGAUGCAGGCGGAGGAACCGAGCAUCCGAACCAACAGCCUGAGAAGAAGGACGAAACCGAGGUCAAGCAAUUCGGUGCGUAAGAGUUCGAUUCUUAAUGCGCAUGCGUGGCGUGUCUAUAACAUUUGGCAUAGGAAAAUGCAAUACCUGCUAAACGAAUGAGCGGUACUUGAAACUCUCGUAUUAAACUUGAAUAGUUGUAAUAUGAUUAAUUUUGGCAAUUGAAGCAGGCGGAGGGACGGAGAAUCGGCAGCGGCCGCCUCAGAACAAGCCGUUAUGCGACACGGCCGAUCCGCGAUCGGACGUGUGCGACAUGGAAGGCGACAUUCGGACGCACGGGAUCUCCUCCUCUAUCCUGUUCGUCCCUCCCUACCCUGUCUCCAAUCCGGAGCCCCAUGAAUGGAAGAUCAAACCGUACUCGCGAAAGUUCAUGAAUGGUAUCAAGGAAGUCAGUGUGAAGCAGCUGCACGGCCCGCAGGAAGCCCCUGCUUGUUCUGUCAGGCAGAGCAUUCCUGCCGUAGUUUUCUACCUCGGCGGCCUCACGGGCAACUACUGGCACGACUUCACCGAUGUUAUAAUUCCGCUCUUCAUCGAGGCUCGACAAUUCGACGGAGAGGUUCAAUUUCUCAUCACCAACAUUCAGGGUUGGUGGAUUGGCAAGUACCACAUGAUCCUCAAGCAGCUGUCACGGUACGACAUUAUCGACCUAGAUAAGGAUUUGCAGAUUCGGUGCUACCCGCGCAUGAUCGUCGGGAUCAGAAGCCACAAGGAGUUCAGCAUCGAGCCCUCGCGGGCUCCGAACGGACUAUCCAUGGUCGAUUUCCGAAAGUUCAUGAGGAUAGCCUAUUCUUUGGAUAGGGACUAUCCGAUCAAGCUGCGCGAGAACGUCGGCAGCAAGAAGCCGAGGCUGCUGCUCAUCGCGAGGGGGCUCAGUCGGAGAUUCACCAAUGUGGAGGAAAUCGUGAAGUCCGCAGAGAGGCUAGGGUUCGAGGUCGAGGUCGUGGACGCGAAGUUCAACGUGAACAUCGCGGAAUUCGCGAAGGUCGUGAACUCGUGCGACGUCAUGGUAGGCGUCCACGGGGCCGGCCUGACGAACUGCGUUUUCCUGCCGACGAACGCGGUUAUGAUCCAAGUAGUCCCCUACGGGAAGCUCGAGCACAUGGCGAAGAUCGAUUUCGGCGAGCCUGCGAUCGACAUGCAGCUGAAGUACGUCGAGUACAGCAUAAGCGCUGAGGAGAGUACACUGAUGGACAUGUUUGGGAAGGAUCAUCCUAUCAUCAAAGAUCCAAUGGCAAUCCACAGGAGUGGAUGGGAAAAGGUUGGGGAAUUUUAUCUUGGAAAGCAGGAUAUAAAGCUUGAUGUGAAUAGGUUUGCUCCCACUCUAUUGAAAGCCAUUGAUCUCCUCAAAGAAUAGGGGGGUUAUUGCACCACACAAAAGAGAAGUUCAAAUUUAGCAUAUUGGUUUCAAUUUUCACUUCAUGUUCUUUUUUUCUUUUUUUGGAUUAUUAGCUAAUUACAGUUACUAUUUAUUAUUAUUAAUUUUUUUUUGUAAAAGGAUAUCAAGUUAAAGAGUUCUUUUUUGGGAAAUAUUGGAUAUGCAUCUUGCUUGAGCAACAACAAUUUUUUUUGCUUGACAAAUUCGAAUUACAACUAAUAAAACAAAAUUUAUAUUGUGAAUUUUGUUAUUGAUGUUUUAAUUCAUUUGAAAUCAAAGUCGGAUUAUUCACGCGGUGACGAGAUUUAUUUACAUAAGUUUUGGGGGGCUUUUGCUUAUAUGCCUCUUAGGGCCCGUUUGGCCUAGCUUCUAGAAAAAUGAUUUCUGCAUAAAUGAUUUUAGUUUGGAAAGUGAUUUCUGUUAAAAACUGUAGAGCGGUUGGCUGAGUCUGAUAGAAAAGUGAUUGUGCUGAAGUGAUUUUAGAAAGCUGUUUGGCAAAUUUUUUUGCUAAAGUGAUUUUGUAAUGCUGUUUAACAUUAGUUAUUUUUUAAAACUAACUAAUAUCACAUACCAAUAUUUCAAGUUAUUAAUAAUUAUUUAAUAUAACAAAACCAUCUUAAUGAUAAAUAUCCAUUAGGAUAACAAUUUAUCUAAAUGUACUCAUCAAUGAUGCAGCAAUACGAUCACGAGUUUGGAUCAUGAUGUAAUCAUCUGUUACUCCACUAUAAGUCUGUGUCGAACUACUUGUACUGCUUUCAUCUUCUUCAAUGUUCGGCAUAUAAUUUAUAUCUUGAUCACAUUUGUUGAACUCUUCAUCUUGCGUUGAACUCAUCCUAAUAAAGUUAUGAAGUGUCAUAGUUGCAGACACUAUUUUUGAUUGAGUUGGCACUGGAUAACCUUGCAUCAUUUGUAAUAUACGCCACCGUGCUUUAAGUACACCAAAUGAUCGUUCAAUAACAUUCCUCAAGGAUGAAUGUGCAUGAUUAAACACUUCUUUACUAUAUACGUACUAUUGAAAAAUUUUAAAUUUAUCCUUCGAUAUUCAAAAUACAUUUUCUUAAUUAAAAUAUUUUUUUUUUAUUUAUUCAUUCUAAAAUUUAUAACUCUAAUUUCUUAAUUAUCACGUGUCUUUAUAUUAUGAAUUUUUUUAUUUUAAAACUUUAAAUAUUUUUAUUGUAUGUUAUAAUAUUUUAAAUAAUGAGUUAUGUUACGCUUUUAAAACACAGACAUAUGUGUGUGUGUCUGCCGUGUGUGUGUUUGUGCGCGUACGUGUGCCCACUCGCCCACCUGCGGGGGAGUAUGGAUAAAGAUGUUAGCUAUUUAAAAAUUUACGAAUAAAUUUUAUUCAUGCUCAAAUAAUCUGCUGAGUAUAAUUACCCAUCCGCAAGUUAUCCAAUCCGCCGAUUUACCAGAUCUAGCUAGUCACUCUCACUGGGUAGGGAAGUUAGGCAAACUAACUGGCCAAACAAAAAAGCCGCAGCAUUUGAUUCUACACUUUGCUUUUUGCCGGUCCUCUUUCUUUAAUAAAGAUUUGUUCACUUUACAUGAUCAUGAUUUUGCAAAAGGUUCUUCCCAUGACGACGCCGAUGAUUAAUUAAGAUUGAUUGUGACAAUGUUUAGUGACCUAUCACACACGAAAAAACAAUCUCUUUGUGCAGAAAUAGUUUGGUACAAUCAAAUUGAAAGGGUUCGACAACCGGUGCUCUCAAAUGCUAUUUUCAGGAGUUGCUGAUACGUCACAUCAUAGAUUAAUUUAUACAGUAUAGACUAGUACAUAACGGAACAAAAAGUAUUUUUCAUGCUGAAAAAAAUAAUUUUCAAGGUUCAAAUUUACUGGACUUCGUGUAGAAAAAAAUUGUUGGUGAAAAUUUCAAAAAUUUUCCAAUAAUUAUUUUACUUUUUAAUUCAUUAAUUUAUUAUUUUUAUUAUUAAUUAACUUAAGUUUUUAUUAUUGCGGACGUUUUGGCUUGCGCCUCGCGUGCACCGUUACGCGCGCUCCCACUCCGCUCGCGCGCACGCACGAGAAGCGGACGACCGUUCCACAGGCGGGCGUUCAAGUCUCCCAACGUUCCACUGUGUAACGAUCGAUCUUUGACCCUCUAUUCAUUAUAAAAGGGCUUCACUGUUCAUCAGUUCAUGGUGACAAUGAGAAAGCAAUUUUGAGAGAGAAAGAGAAAAGACUAUUACGAGUUGUUUAAUUUUUUCUAUUGUUUUAAUCCAUUUGAUUUGAUUCGUUUAUCAUCGGGUGUUGAAAGAGUCUCCGUCAACCUCUUCCGCGUUCGUGCUCGUAGGAGGAGGAAUUCCGGUCGUAUCUUGGGGCGGUGUUUCGGGUUAAUCCCGCACGAAAGACAGGAAUACGCCUUAGGGCAGUGCUUCGCACGCUUCCGGAUCAAUUAAAAUCAUUAUUUGGAUAUUUGCGUUUAUCUGUAAGUUGAUUUAUUUAUUUUCAUAAUAAAAUUUAGUUAGAUUUAAAUCACACUCAGAUUUUUUGUGUGGUAUUUGUUCUAACAAAAGUUUGGUAUAAUCAAAUGGAAAGGGUUCGACUAGGAGUGCACUCAAUUGAUAUUUUCGGGAGCUGCUGAUGUGUCAUAUGUAGAUUGAUUUUGUGUAUCAUCGACUAGCACGUAGAAGGUGCAAAAAAUAUUUUUCCUACUAAAAAACAUAAUUUUUAAGGUUUAAAUUUGCUGGUGACCUUGCGUAGAAAAAGUUGGUAUAAUGAAAAAAAAGGGGCACCACUAUGGGUGCUCCCAAAUGCUAUUUUUAGGAGCUACUGAUGCAUCACAUGUAGGGGUGGAAUACGAGCAGGAUUUUUCAGCUCGUUUAAUAAACGAGCCGAAUAUGAGCUAGGGUCAGCUCGCUCGUGUUCGGCUCGAUAACAGCUCGAAUACAUAUAUUUUAUAUUUAUAUAAUUUAUUUAAUUUAUAUUUUUAUAUAUAAAUAAAUAAUUAUAUAUAAUAUAUAUUUUUAUUAUUUAAGUUUUAACAAAAUAAAAAUAUAAAUACGAGCUUAAUUAUAAAAAGACUCAUUUAUAUGUAAAAUUUCAACUAUUAGAUAAAAGUCUAAUGGAUAAGGUUUUAUAAAUUUAUUUUUUAUAUAUAUUUAAUCUAAUCUUUUUUAAUUUAUUAUUCGUUGGCCAGCUCGUGUUCGGAGCCGAACACGAGCCGACCCCAGCUCGCUCGUGUUCGGCUCGUUUACACCCCUAAUCACAUGUAGAUUGGUUUGUGCAGCAUAGACUAACAUGUAAAAGGUACAAAAAGUAUUUUUCAUACUGAAAAUAGAAUUUUCAAUGUUUAAGUUUUGUUGGACUUUGCGGAGAAAAAGCUUAGCAUAUCAAACGAAAGGGUGGGGACUAUGAGUGCUCUCAAAUGCUAUUUUCAGAAGCUGCUGAUGUGUCACAUGUAAAUUGAUUUUAGAGAAAAUUUCAAAAACCACUACUUUGGUUUCACACUUUCUAACUGUAGUACCUUAUGGUUUAAAGUAUAUCAGUUUAGUGUCUUGUGGUUUUUUUUUUAUCUUUUUAUUAUCAAUUUCAUUAAUUUUUUUCGUUAAAUCAGUGACAAAGUUAAAACUAAAGGGUGCUAAAGUAAAUAUUCGAUAAGUCUAGAUUGGUAUCUGAAGUUUUUCAUAUAUAAUUUAACGAAAUAUUAACGGAAAAGCUAACGAAAAGAUAAAAAUAAAAUCAUAUGACACUAGCUUGAUACAUUUUAAAUUACAUGAUACUAAAAAAAGAAAGUACGAAACCACAAAAAUGGUAUUUGAAGUUUAUUCUUGAUUUUACGUAGUAUAGACGAGCAUGUAAAAGGUGUAUGGGUAGUUAAUUUAGUUUUUAAUUUUUUUAGCGAUAUAUGAAUAGGCACGCUCUAACUCUUAUAGGGAUGCAAACGGGGCGGAUCCGGGGGCGGGAGAGUUCCCCCACCUCCCGCUCCAUUUCUUAUCUGGGCCGGGCGGAUUCGGGGCGGGUUACUUUUCAUUUUAUUUUUGGCUCCCACUUACCACUCCAUUCGGGGCGGAUCGGGGCGGGAGCGGAUUUUUAACGGAUCGAGGUAGAUUGAAGGAAGAAAAGAGUCUCCCGCCUCCCGCUCCAUUUACUUGGCGGAUCGGGGCGGAUUCAGGACGGGUUAUAUUUUUCUAUAUUUUUUGUUCCCACCUACCACCCCAUUCGGGGCGGAUCGGGGCGGAGCUCCACCAACCCGGAUCCAUUUGCAUCCCUAAACUCUUAGACUUUUGACAAAUCACCCCCUGAACUUUUAAGUUUGGCAAUCAGAUUCAUAACUUUAUCAAAUAAUUCACUUGGCUUAUUCUGUCAAGCAAAUUGAGUUACUAUUAAACAACUGUGCUAGAAGCAUGUCUUGUAGAUAUCUCAUGAAUACUUCUUUUCUUUUCACAAAUAAAAUAAAAUAUAAAUUUUAAAGAAUAAGUCGAAUCUAUCUUCCAUUUUUAUUUUUUUUUUCCAAGCAGUAUAACAAAAAAGAUAGGUUUUAAUAAUAUGCAAAACAUUUGCCAAGAAUGGAUAUUUAGUCAGUAAGUUCUCUAAAAAAAUAUGACCUUUUAAAUUAUUGGAUAAAGUUUAUAUUAAAUAUAAAAAUAUUUAAACACCGUUCUCUAAUAGGUUAAGCUUUUAGAGUACAACAGUUGUUUCACAUGAUAUCAGAGUAGGAGAUCGUGAGUUUAAGUCAUGCCAGACUCCUGGCAUAUUAAUUUUCUCUCAUUUAAUUCAAGCCCACGUCAUUAACCGACUAAAAAAUGUCGAGUCCAGACGUGAAUUCUCAAAAUUACUAAUUUAUAUACGUAUUUGCGAACGCUUGAAAGUUUUAGAGGGUGUGUUUGUAUAUUUUUUCCUUCUUUUUAAGUUGUUUUCUUUUUCUUUUUCUUUUUCUUUUUUUUGCAUAUCCUUAAUGUUAGUUUCACAUCCAAAUUUCCAUUUUUUUUUUAUUUUGCAACAAAUAAUCAACUUUUUCAUAUUUCACUUUACAUGGGCCACAUGCUUGAGAGAGAGAGAGAGAGAGAGAGAGAGAGAGAGUACAAAUGGAAACCAAACUCUUGUGGCAACUAGGGCUGGCAAACGAGCGAGCCGGCUCGCGUUCGACUCGUGUUCGGCUCGAUAUUUGGCUCGCUCGAGCUCGACUCGAAAUUAAAUGAGCCGAGCUUGAACAAAAUAAAAGGCUCGAAAUUCAUUUCAAGCCGAGCUUGAGUAUUACUCAGCUCGUUCGAAUUAGGCUCGAAAAGCUCGAAAAGCUCGAAUAUAUAUAUAUAUAUAAUGUAUUUUAAUUAUAUAUAGGCUUUAAUUUAAUUUGGGCCAUUAUUGUUGGCCGAUAAAAUAAACCCAACAAGUACAACCGUGCAAUUGAGCCCAACUCUAAAUUUACAUAACACACUUCUUUUUUCGGACUUGGGUCACUGUUGCACAUAACCAUCAAAGUGAUACAUUCAAUUUUUCACAAUCCCUUACUUUUUUUUUCUCUCUCUCUCUCUCUCUCUCUCUCCUCUCUCUCUCUCUCUCUCUCUCUAGACCUAUAUCUUAGUCAAGAAGUCACCCUAGCACUUCAAUUUCUUAUAAUUAAAUUUGUUUUUUGAACUAUUGGACAUUUGCACUCAAAUUGUAGGCUUACGAUUGUUCUUAUAAAAAAUUAAAUUGAUUGAUUAUAUAUAGUUGAAAUAUUCAAUCGGGUCGUGUUGAAGCUCGAGGCUUCGGCUUCGACUCGAAAUUAGCGCUCUCGCUUCAGCUCGGCUCGAAUUAAUUAAGCCGAGCUUUUCGAGCCUACAUUUAUGGCUCGAAUUAAUUUACAAGCCGAUUUGGAGCUAGACAUUAAGCUCGCUCGAGCUCGGGUUCGUUUCCACCCUAGUGGCAAACCCAUGUGGGGAUUUGGCGGCAACUAAUCAUAUAAAUAUUUCUUUAAUUUAAACAUACAUAUUCAAAAUUUUUAUUUAUAAACUUAGACUUAAGGCAGUUAUAUAUAUUAUAUAUAUAUAUAUAUAUAAUAUAUUAUAAAUUUGAAGCUCCAAAAAUAUAUAAUUAUAUAUAUAUAUAUAUUUGCACUUUCUGAAAAUAUAUAUAUAUAUUUCUAUAAGCUCCAAAAAUGUAUAAUAUUAAAUAGUAAAAAUAAUUUUUAUAUUUUCAGAAAGUGGUAAACAGUUGAUUACAUUUAAAAGCGGUGAAUCAUUCACCGCAUAACACUAAUUUUGUAAUUAAAUAAUUUUUUAAAAAACUAUUUUUAUAAUUUUAAUACUUUUUAAGUAAAAAAAAAAAGAAGAAAAUUCAACCCUUGUUUCAAUUUUGGUUAGCUGGUCAAAUGGGUUUCCAGAUUUCUGCAUCUUUGCAGUCCAGGGAGGCAGAGACUUUGCCUCAAUAAUUGACCUACUUGUCAUUACACAUAUACCCCUACAAGUCCCUCUAUUCUAAUUUGUACCCAAAAGUAUCCCAUGGGUUAGUUUCUCCUUUUUGACACCGUCCUUGAAAUUAAUAGAUGUAGCCAUUACUCACUUAAUAACACUUAAAAAAUAUUAGUUUCGAAAUAAAUGUGUUCCCUAAUUUUUCUAUAAAUUAUUCUUUUGUUUUCUUGAAAAGAAUUAUGGUAGUUUAAAAUAAUGUGUCUGUCUUAGUAUUCCGGUAUGUUUUUUUUAGUUUUUAUAUAAAAAUUAAGAGUGAGUUAAUGCACAGAAGAAUUGAAGAUCUUUUGUGAGCAUAUAUAUAUAUAUAUAUAUAUAUAUAUAUAUAUAUAUAUAUAUAUAUAUAUAUAUAUAUAUAUAUGUGUGUGUGUGUGUAAUAAUUUUUGAUGAAAAAAUAAGAUAAGUUGAGCUGAAUUUUCUACUUUUUAUUAAGAAAAAAAGAUUUCUUUUUAUCUUACUCUGAUUUCUCAGGUAGACUUUCUGUAAGAGAAAAUUAUUGCUCGACCAUUGUAUCAGUAGAUUCUGCGUAGUGGUAAGUGUGCUCAAGUUCAACAUGAUGGAUAUUAUGGUGGACUGAGUAUUUAUCUGGUCUUGUUUGUUUUAUCUCUGCAUCUCCUAUAAGUUUCGGCGUUACCUUUUCUGUCUAAUAUUACAGUUUAGUCUUUUGAACAAUCUUGCUAAUCAUUCUAGCUUGCAUUAAUAAUCUAUUUUUUUCCCUUAUAAUUUGGCAAUUUUGUAGAAAAGUCAACGUGUAAUAUAUGGAAAAGUGCAGUACUAAAGUAUGAAAAUUAACUUGCAAUUUUGGGAUAAUGUAGGAAUUAUUCUAACUUGCAUGACUUUUUAUAGGGGUAUAAAUGUAAAAAAAACCCCUCCUAGUUAAUUAAUAUCAUUUAAGUAGCUGUGGGUUAGGAACAAGGUGGGCCUCAUUUAAUUUCCUGGAAUGCAUUGCAACCACCUCCCACAUGAAAGAGACCCUGAUGGAGAUUCUUGGGAACAACAAAAACCUUCUUAAAAGCUAUGCCCUAAUAAAAAAAAAUAAAAAAUAAAAAAUAAAGAAAUAAAAAAACAUGGUAAAUUGCAGCUUUGGUUCCCAAUGUUCGAGAUAAGUGAUAUUUUGGUACUCAAAUUUUAAUUAACUUAUUAUAAUUUUUUAUUUAAAAUUUUUAACUUAUCAUAAAUUAGUCUUACAGUUUAAUUUAUUUGGUUAAAUACUGAUAUUUCGAUGAUGCGUACGGCACUAACAUGUUACUAUCGCAUUAGAGGCUCAUUAUUACUAGAUCUACUAAAUUUGACUUGUAUGACUUAAAUUUUAAAAGUUUGAGCCAAAACUCGUAAUAAAUUAAAAGUUAAUAAUUGAAGUAUUACCAGCCUACUAGAAGCUUGAUGACCAAAAGUGAAAAGCUGUUGCUUAUUUACCCUAGGCUACUUUUCAAAAUUUUUAAAUUUAUCUUAAAAUUAUUAAAAUACCCAUUUAAAUUUUAAAUAUCUGAGAUUUGAAAAUAUUAGAAGAAAUUUUUGAAAAUCAAUGAAAUUACUUUGGUCCAGCAGAAAUAUAUUAGGUAUUUUUAAAAUUUUUAAAAAUAGGGUAGAUAUUAUAAAAAAAGGAAAAAAAAUAUCCUUAUCAUGUGGGCCCCACACUACAUUGACAUUUGACAUAUUAUUAUUGCUCCACAUCACAUAUAUUUUUGGAGUUUCUCCUCUCUCUCUCUCUCUCUCUCUCUCUCUCUCUCUCUCAACAACCAUUUCCUCUUCCACAUCUUGUUCAAAAGAAUCAAAACUUUCCCCUUCUCUCUCUCUCUCUCUCUCUCUCUCUCUCUUUUGCUUAACAAAAAUAGACCCAAAAAACCCACUGCAAUUUCCAUGUGCUUUCCCCAUCUCUCUCUCUCUGUAGCUCUCUCUCUCUCACCUAACAGUUCAAUAAUACACCACUGGGCCAACUCAGAUUUCAAAAUCAGUGCAAAUUCAAAUUAUCAUCAUAAAAAAAUAAGGCAAGUGGGUACUGGUUUGUUUGUCCAUCUUUGUUCCUGCUUUUUCUGGGAGCUUCAUUCAGAUGUUGCAAUUUGACAGCAAACUUCAUCUUCAAUCUGCUGCAGGAAAAUAGAAUGGCUUCUGCUGCAUACAGCAGAAGACUGAAGCUUCUUGCAAGGGAGAGGAAACCAACAAAGCAAGAUGCAAAAUCAGUGAAGAGUUUCAGUAAAAUCGAGCCGAAAAAGAUCGGCAUCGGAUUGGUUUCGGCAUGUCUUUUGGGUUUACUCACCUAUGCCUCUCUGUUGAAGUUCUUCGACAGCGAAGAUCUGCCGAAUUUUAGUAAGUUUUCUUCUUCUUCUUCUUCUUCUUCUUCUUUUCCUAGUACUUAGCCAUGUUGGCUCGAAAGGGUCGGCAUCCUGUCCUGUGGCAAAAGGUCAGGUUAAAAGUGGUGUGGGACUGGAUUGGGCUGAGUCAUGUUCGAAAUAGUGUAAGAUUGGUUGGACCAAGUCACAAUCGAGACCUGUGGGCGCUGUAUCCGUACGUUUUAAGUGAAUUGAUUGUAUAUUUUUAACGGCUAGAACUUUAGGGAUUAAUGAUUAAUGUCAACAAUCUGAUAAGAGAGUCAAAAUUCACGGAUUCGAUUUCCGUAUGCUGCGAAUUUGUACGGGUGUUAGGAGAGAUUGUUGGCCGGAGGCCAACCAUUCACUUAAUUAUUGGCUUAAAAGGGCCAGCAAAAGGCCAACCAUACGCUUUAAGUGCAUUGAUUGUAUAUUUCUAACGGCUCGAACUUUUGUAAUUAAUGGUUAGCGCCAAUGAUCCAACAAGCCAUGCCGAUGUUUCUUUUUUCUAAUUUAUUUGAUUGGUUUUGCAGCAAAUACUACUACAAUUUCAGUGACAGAUGAGGCUUCUGCGGCUCCGAUCGAUGAAAGAGGUAUGAUAAGAACAUGGUCCUUUUAAAAUGUUGCUGAAUUUUAAAGAUUCAGAUGUUUUUAAUCAGAGUGUGUUGUGUAGAGAUUGGAAUGAAAAAUGAAACUAUUGAGAGCGAAUCGGGCACUGUCGAAGAGGAUGAUUUUGUGCAGCAGGAGGAGGAGAUUACACCCUCUAGGGAAUCUGAUUCUGAUUCUUCUUCUGCAACAAAAGAUUCUUCAGAUAUUAGUGCUACAACAUCAGGUAAUUAAUUUCCAAAUUACCUGAUUUCAGUAUCUGAAAAUAAAUGUUUCAGAUUCUGAUUCUGGGUUCAUAUUUACUUGCAGAUGAAGAUAUUGGAAUUGUGGAGGACUCCUCAAAGAGUAACACCUCACAAAUAGGUAAAAAUGCCAAUGCAUUGUUUGUUUAACAGAGUAUUUUUUCCAGUUGCCAAAUUUAGUGGCGGUAUAUUUAGUUUGCCCCCAAAUUAAACCAAAAUUGCACUCUGUUCCCUAUGAAUGAGACAAUAAUUUACAUUGAGCACAGAUACUAUAUCAUCUAGGUGAUAAAAUGCAUAUUCUUGUAUAUUGGGGGUACUCUCUAAUUAUUGUAUUUGGAACUGUGGCCAAUUUUGGCGCAGUUCCAACUGCUACUGUUGGGCCUUUUCAUGCAGUUUUAACUGUAGUUAGAUUCAAACGCAUCAAACCAAACACUGUAUUUAGAUUUGUAUACAGCUCCUAAGCUUAAUUACUAGUGUUAGUUGUUUACUCGCAUGUACAUUUUCCGCAGUUCAAAAUUUUCGAACCAUCAAGCCUGAGAGUAAGAUCACUUGUGAUGAUAAGAGCAUAGAUGAGGGUUUUCCGUAUGCGAGGCCGGUAUUCUGCGAAAUGACCGGAGAUGUUCGGAUUAGCCCGAAGAAUUCUUCCGUGUUCUUCGUGACUUCGUCAGAAGGAAUUGAAGAGGAGCGUCGGAUAUACCCGUAUGCGCGAAACGACGACUAUCUCAUCCCCAAAGUCCGCGAAGUGAUCUUGAAACCAGUGAAUGCCGAUCACGAAACACCCAGUUGCACCGCGAUUCAUGACGUACCCGUGGUGGUCUUCUCCGUCUCCGGUUACACCGGAAACUUCUUCCACGACGUGGCCGACGUGCUGAUCCCUCUCUUCAUGACUUCGCGGCAGUUCGGAGGAGAAGUGCAGUUUGUCGUCGCGAAUUACGACAAGCGGUUCCUGCGCAAGUACGAGCCGGUCCUGAAGAAGCUCUCGCGCUACGAGACUAUCAACUUCGAUACCGACGAAAGUGUCCACUGCUUUCGGCACGCGUUUUUAGGAUUGAUAAGAGACAGGGACCUGAUCAUCAAUCACCACCCGACACGGAAUCCGAGGGGCUACUCGAUGCCCGACUUCACCGAAUUCCUGCGCGGCGCGUUCUCGCUCAGGAGGGCCGCGCCGUCGGUCCUCGGCGAGCAGCACAGGAAGAGACCGCGAAUGUUGGUGAUCUCGAGGACUGGGACGCGGAAGCUGACGAACAUACGCCAGGUGGCGGCGAUGUCGGAGGAGCUAGGAUUCGAGGUGAUCAUCUCGGAGGCGCGCGCGGACGUGCGGCGGUUCGCGCAGGUGGUGAACUACUGCGACGUGCUUCUGGCGGUCCACGGUGCGGGACUGGCGAACGAAAUCUUUCUGCCGCCGGGGGCGGUCGUGAUUCAGAUAGUCCCGUGGGGAAAGAUGGAAUGGAUGGCAGAAAACUUUUACGGGAAGCCGGCGCGGGAGAUGAAGCUGAAGUACCUGGAGUACUACAUUGCGAAAGAGGAGAGUAGUUUGAUGAAGAAGUAUCCGCGGAACCACAUUGUGUUCAGGAACCCCAUGGCAAUCCAUGGGCAGGGUUGGAAAGCUCUGAGUGAGGUGAUCAUGGCACAAGAUGUGAAGAUCAACUUGAGGAGGUUUAGGCCUACUUUGUUGGAAGCUAUUGACCUUCUCCAAGAGUAGUAGAAUCCUUCAAAACGUAAAACGAUAUUCGAUAUUCGCGCAUCGCACUGACUGCUAGUAAAGUUGGCAGAGACUGUAUUCUUUGAGUGAACGGCCGGAUGUUUAAUCUUCUUCAGAGCAAAAGAAGUUACGGGGGCACGGAGACAGUUGUUCUUUUAUUGAUUUUUAAAACUUUUUUAUGUAGAGAAUUAAUUGUAUUCUUUUUGUGCAUAGAUCAUUGUUAAUUUUCUAUUUUCUUUGCAAAGGGAGAUUCAUUGUUAGCAUCUGAGAACCGCGGAAAUUUUGUGACUCCCAUAUCUUUUCUCUUAUGAUGUGAGAAUCACACCGAUUUUAGCGCUUUUCAUAUAAAUCGACAUAUACAGGUUUUGAGUUCAGAUUGAAUAUUGCUCAAGAGGGCCUUUGCACUGUUGUAAUUACAAAUUCAGUUGUAAUUUAAGUUUAGUGAGAGUAAAAACAUUAGUUCUGUGAUCUUUAAUUUUGGAUUUUUUUUCAUGAAAUUUUGCUUAACAGAACUUUUUAAGGGAAAACGAUCUCAGAACAUUGCUGUGAUCAGCAGAAGAGCUAAUGUCUUUUUGCUAAUUCUUCAUAAAAACUUUUUGAUCUCUCAAUAAUAACUGCAAUUUUAGGCUCACAACAGCUGCAGAAAAAUCAUUACUGGUUUAUUUUAAGGCAAGUUUUUAGUUAUUGUGCACAAAUGUUUCAGUACAAAGUUGCGAAGCAGAUGAUUCGCUGUCGAAUCACUGCUUUAAGUGCUUGUUUGGCAUCGCUUCUACUUCUGUGUUUAACAACAGUCACCCUCCGCAGAGUACUAACAAAGAAAAAAAAGUUCCGUAUUUUUUCUGUAGCACGAAUCAGAAAUGAAAUUCUAUGUAAAAGAUCGUGUUUGAUAACACUUUGAUAUACGAUGUUUCUAAAAGCACUAGCCAGAUAACACUUCAUCUAAUAGAAAAUAUUUAUAUACUCUAACGCAGUGUCAACAAUAACAAUAAUUUGAAGGAUAUUUCUUUUUCGACGAUCCGCCGCCGCCGCUACAACCAACUAAUCGAGAUUGGGAUCAAAUCUAUUCCGUGUAAGCAACUUGUUAUUGAAUCCUACAAAUUUUCUUUCUUCGCGGUUAUUCCUAAACCCUAAUUUCCAUUAUCAUUACCCUCUCGUUUCGUAAACCCUAACUCUAAUUUCUUUCUACUAUUUUAGAAAUUCUAGCAAAGCGGGUAAGAUCCGACGAACGAAAGAAAUUAAACUAACUCGUCUGCAUGCUUGCGAUGGAUCCAAUCCUACGGAAACUCCAAGAAGUAAUCUUUUUGAAUCGUUCUCUCAUUUAAGUUUUCGAAUUCCAAAUUUAUCAUUUAUUGUUUGUAGUUUGAUUUUUAAGAAUCGCUCAAUUCGUAUUUUUAAGUAAUUCUAGAAAAUUCUAAACGGUCCUGCAUCAUAGAUUUUUCUCUUCUUUUUUUUUUUUAAUGUUUAAUGUUAACAAUGGCCCAGGAGGUCAAUUAAUGCACAACCAGGAAACUUGUGGGGGAACAAAUCCGUGACAUCUCAGAAACAGAAAAGGACAUGGCUCUUUUAAUGUAGUAACUUGGCAUUGCAAGAAAGGGGUGUAAAUGGAUCUGGAUUGAUGGACCUCCCGUCUCGACCCGCUUCGAAUGUGACAGUAAUAAAAAGUAAAAAAUAAUUUAAAAAAUAUUCCGGAUCAGUCCCGAUCCACUAAGGAAAUGGAGUGGGCGACAACGAAUCCCUUUCUUUUCUUUCUUGGAUUCAUCUUGAUCUGCUAAGAAAAUAGAGCACAAGGCGGCGGCGGCGGCAGACUGUUUCUUAUUCUACAAUCUACGAAAAAAUUGUUCCCGCUUGGGUCCGCUCCAAAUAGAGCAGUAAGUGAGAAAAAAAAAAAAUGCUGACAAAAUUAAUCAGUCCCAAAUCCGCCACGAUCCUCAAAGAAACCAGCACAGGAUCCGCCCCAUUUGCAUCAUUAAUUGAAGAUGAUUAAAUUAUGUAACUGUGGAUUCGUGCAUUGCAUGAGAUUGGACCCGGUUGAUAUAUAUAGAAAAAAAAUAAUUAAGAGGAAAAAAUAUAGAUUUUUUAAAUUUUUGGAUAAAAUACACAUUUGGUCCUCAAACUAUGAUGCGCAUAGCAUUUUAGUCCUCAAACUCUAAUUCGUUAUAAUUUUUCUGGCUCGAAUUAUGAGGCACGCUAUACUUUAAUUCUCGAACUUUAAUUAAUUAUAAUUUUCGGCUCGAGCUAUAAGACAUGUGACACUUUAGUUCUCAAACUUUUUGAUUUAUUACAAUCAAGUUUCACAACUUAAUUUCUUUGAAUGAAUAUUGAUGAAUUAGUAAAAUCGAAGUAAUGUAGCAUUUUAAUUAUUAUAUUGUAUCAUCAAAUAGAAUAUUAUUAUAAUUCAGAAAGUUCGAGAACUAAAAUAUUACAAGCCUCAUAGUUCGAGCAAAAAAUUAGCUGAAAAUAUGAAUAAACUACGCUUCGAAUUUAGGACCUCAAAUAUCAAUCACCAAACUCUUUGCCACUUACGCUAGGGACGAUUAGUUACAACUAAAGUUUGAGAACUAAAAUGUCACGUGCUUUAUAGUUCGAACUAAAAAUUUUAACGAAUUAAAGUUUGAAAACUUAAGCGUCGCAGGCAUUAUAGUUUGAGGGCAAAAAGUGUAAUUUACUCCUUUUUUUAGUUGGUCACGAAAUAGUGAUGGAAUAGUAAUGAUAUCCAGUUAAAUUCUACAAUUUAAAUUUUAUAAGAAGACAAAAUAGAAAAUUUUAGAAAGUAGACGACAAAGUAUAAAAGUGGAUGUUUAUAAGAGGAUUUGUGUAAUUUAGCCUUGUAUAUUUGUUUUUGCCGACAGAAAAACUCCGUUCCAUCAUGUAUAGGAAUGUCAACAGGUUGAACUCGGCGCUACUUUUCAACAAUCCGAACUGAACCAGACUUUUUGAAUACGUCGCAUUUUGAAAAUUCAUAUAAUAAAAAAAAGGGUUAAUUUCAUACAGGUCCCCGCAAACAUAUUGAAUAGCAAAUAUAUUCCUACAAAGUUCAACUUUCAUAAGUUAUUCCUACAAAAAUCCUUAUGUAUUCAGAUAUGUCCCUCUGAUUAGUAUCAGUUAGAAAAUUGUAAAUUUUUUAACAGCAGAGAUGUGAAAUGACUAUUUUGUCCUUGCACUUGCCCUUGCCCUUGCCCUCUUUCUCUUCCUCUUUCGAUUGUGGGAGCAUGCGGCGGCGGCGACGGCGACGGCGACGGCGACCUUGCGGAGUUUGCCAGGGUUGCGGCCAACGGGGUUGCGGAGCUUGUCGGGGUCACGGCGCUGCCGAUGCCGUCGGAAGCGCCGGUGACAACAGCCCACGCCCACACCACAACGACAACGACGAUCGGAUCAUCGACGACGACAAAGAAGAAGAAGAAGAAGAAGAAGAAAAAGAAGGAGAAAAGGAGGAGGAAAAUGAGGAUACGAAGAAAAAUAAGAAGAAGAAGAAGCAGGAGAGAAAGAUGAAGAAGAAGAGGAAGAAGAAGAAGCAGGAGAGGAAGAUGAAGAGGGGUAAAAAUGUUUUUUUAUCUUAUUAACUGACCAUAGUUAAGAUACUUAACUAUGGUUAACUAGAUUUCUCUAACGGAGAUUAAAAGUAGGGACAUAUCUGAAUACAUUAUAAUUUUUGCAGGGAUAACUUAUGAAAAUUGAACUUUGCAGGAAUAUAUCUGCUAUUCACCAUAUUUGUAGGGAUCUGUAUGAAAUUAACCCUAAAAAUAAAAACAUGACAAAAAUAUCGAAAUCUGAACCCAAAAGAAAUUAUUUCUAUUUAUCAAAUUUCAAAACAUAUCAUAUUCGAAUCUAAAUAUGACAAAUUUUAAAUUUUUUUUUAUAUUUAAUGUAAAAUCGAUUUGGGUUUGGUUUGAAUUGGAUUCAACCAGAUCGGGUGCACAUAAAAAAUUAUAUCCGAACGCGAGAUAUCAUACAUGUUUAGCGUCAGUUAAAUCAGCUCCGUUUAAUUUUGAAUUCGGAUGAACACGUUUAACGCUCAGCGUUGUUGGUGGCACCAAACAAAAUCCUGUAAUUUACGCCAAUUAAUUCAGGUGAGUAUGAGUGGCCUCCACGCCAUCAGCGUGUAGGGCUAGCAAAUGAGCAAGUCGGCUCCUGUUCGGCUGGCGUUCGGCUUGAUAUUCAGCUUAUUCGAACUCAGAUUAAAAUUAAAUGAGCCAAGCUUGAAUAGAGAAAAAAAAAAAAAAAAAGGCNCCAAACUGUUAUACUAUUAGUAGCACCCCUAAAAAUGGGUAGAUGUUCACCCAUCCAUUCUAGAGUAGGUUAAAUUUUACUAAUCACAUCGAUAUAACUAGUAAAACUCAUUUGUAUAGAGCCAAACUGUUAUACUAUUAGUAGCACCCCUAAAAAGGGGUAGAUGUUCACCCAUCCAUUCUAGAGUAGGUUAAAUUUUACUAAUCACAUCGAUACUAUUAGUAGCACCCCUAAAAAUGGGUAGAUGUUCACCCAUCCAUUCUAGAGUAGGUUAAAUUUUAUUAAUCACAUCGAUAUAACUAGUAAAACUCAUUCGUAGGAUGAGUGGAGGUACAUCAUAUGCCUUUUUUUAGGGGUGCAUGUAUAGCAUGGAUCAAGAUGGGGACCACUGGUUCUAAUCAGUAAUCCCUUCCUACAACCAUGUGCACAUGUAGAACCCUAAACUAGGGCACAGUAAAUUAUCCCAAAAAUAUGAAAAGUUUAUAAUAGAGAAUAGUGAAAUUGUCCCAAAGCAGAUGCUUCUUCCUCCCUUGAUAAUCACCUCCUCCUCCUCCUCCUCAAUUAAUCAUGUAGAGAAAAAAUUGCAAGCUCUCUAUUAGAGAGAUCUCAAUAGCCUUUUUUCACAAUGAAAAAGAGGGAUAAAGCUAGGUUGCUUCAAAACCUCCGAAUCGAGUCGCAGAAAUUUCGGUUUCGCGCGACCGUAAUCGGCGUUUUCCUGAUCACAUUGGCCUUGAUUGUGGUUCCAAAACCUGAUGCAUUUCUUUUCUCCAAAUGUAUGCUCUAAAUAUCACAAUUUUAGAGUGACAUUUUUGUAUAUAUGUAUGUAUAAUGCAUUUCAUUAUCUAUAUUCAACUUUAGUUUCUUUUAUGUGAUUGGUGUGACAGUGAGUUUGACGAGACUAGUAUUGGAUGAUGAUGAAGCUCAACUUAUAAAUUCGCGCGAAUUCGGUAUGUUUCUCAUGAUCUAAAUUAUUGAUAUUUUUACCUCAAAAGAAAAAAAACAAAUGAUUAGUCGAAAUGUAAUGCUCUUACAUAGAAUGUUUGCUACAAUUUUAAGUUCUUAAUAUCUAAAUAGAUACUUAAUUACCAAGUCUUUUUCAAUGUUACAAGGGGACAUUAAUGAAGGUGAGCAAAAAAGUGAGGAGGAGGUCCCAAAUGUUGGAAUCACUACUCUUCCGACGAAUUCGAAUCACGCAAACGACGGUACGAUUCGAAAGGAACGGAUCGUAAAUUCUCAUCAACUAGGUAAUUGACCAAUUUACAUCAAGCAUAUAUUAAUUUCAUGUUUGAAUUUGAAUUAUUCAAAUUUAAAGAACUAAUUAAUACUUUUCCACAUGCAUAUGUGCAGCUAAUGGGAGUGAAAUUAGGGUUACAAGUGAGAGCACAUCAAAUGAAAAUGUUAUGCUCCCGACGAUUUCGAAUCGAACCACUAAUGAUCCAAUUAAAAGAGAAGCAAUUUUCUCCAAGCAUUCAGGUAUUGUGAGAUGCUCUUAUGUUUUUUAAAAAAUAAUGAUAAAUUUAUAAUGCAAUUUAUUUAUUUAUUUAUUUUCAUAUUAUUAAUUAUCAGGUAGUAGGGAGAUAAGCAAAAUGGAAGGAGACAUUAGGGCUUUGAUUGGAGCAACUGAGAAAAAAGAAACAACUAAUUCCAACAAAUUAUGUAUGUUACUAUGAAAUUUUCCUUGUAAUGCUUUAAUAUUAGGGUAAAUUACAAAUACCACUCUGUAUUUUCACCGAAGUGAUCAAUCACUACAAAUUACAAUUCCACAUUAUCAAUUGCUUCAGUGUUAACUUUGCAUUUACUCGCGUCUAAUAUGCUCAAAACAUUGGAAAGAUUAUUACAUUGGUUACACUUUUAAAGGAAAAGAAUCACAUGGAUUAAAAAAAUUGGUCGAUAAAUUACAAUUUUAUCUAGUCCUAAUAAGGAAUAUCACAAAGUGCAAAAUCAAAAUUUGAUAAAAUAAACCAAAGUUUUAGACCUAUUUGAAUCUCAAUAAAAUGCAAGCUAGGUUGAAAUUGAAGCAUUUGAAAACUUGAAAGUGAUAGUUGAGUGUUGAAAGUGCAAGUGUGUCUCAAUUACUUAAUUACAUUAUAUUUUGUUAAGUGAUGUUAAAUGUUUUCUCUUGAUGUGAAGAUACUGCGAGAGCGAAGAAACGGAGGACAAAGCCGUUGUGUGAUUUUUCAUUGCCGAGAGCAGAUGUUUGUGAGAUCGAAGGUGAUGUAAGGAUUCAUGCGAAUUCUUCGUCGAUCAUAUAUGUCAAACCCGGUCGCUCUGCGAGGAAAAGAUCGUGGACAAUUAGGCCGUAUGCUCGAAAGGGGAAUGAGCAUUGCCUACAAAAUGUUCGAACACUUGUUGUUAGGUCAAGCAAAGAUGCCCCUCAAUGCACCAAGAACCACAAAUCCACGGGCCUCAUCUUCGCGAUCAAAGGCUACACCGGAAACCUCUUCCACGACUUCACCGACGUGCUCGUCCCUCUCUUCACGACCGCUCGACAAUUCGAUCGCGAUGUGCAAUUCCUAAUGACCGGAAUUCAUGUUUGGUGGGUCAAUAAGUAUCGAAAAGUUCUAGAAGCUCUCACGCGCUACCCUUUUAUCGAUUUCGAUGCAGAUGAUUAAGUUCAUUGUUUUAGUCGCGUGAUCGUUGGUCUCCGAGCUUAUGACGAAUUCACUAUCAAUCCUUUGCUGGCUCCGAACAACUAUUCGAUGGUCGACUUCAAUCGAUUCAUGCGUUCAACUUACUCACUAGAACGAGAGUCGACGACUAAGCUAGUAGGGGAUGGUAGUAAGAAGCCAAGGCUUCUUAUCAUAGCUAGGAAGAGAGUAAGGAAGUUCACAAACAUGGUUGAAAUUAUUCGAAUGGCAGAAGAGCUAGGGUUUGAAGUGGUGAUUGACGAAGUCGACGUCGGUGACGAUGUGGGGAAAUUCGCGAAGAUCGUGAACUCAUGCGACGUGAUGAUGGGUGUGCAUGGCGCGGGGCUCACGAAUUCAGUGUUCCUCCCUCCGAAUGCGAUUCUAAUUCAAAUUGUGCCGUGGGGCGGGCUAGAGUGGAUUGGUAACUUGGAUUUUGGAGAUCCAUCAAGAUCCAUGGGGCUAAAGUACAUACAAUAUAGCAUUUCAAUAGAAGAGAGUAGUUUAAUAGAGAAGUAUCCUAGAGACCAUGUGGUGUUUACAAAUCCCUUUUUGAUACACAAGAAAGGGUUUGUAGAAGUUAGCAAGGUGUUCUUGUGGGACCAAAAUGUGAAGCUUGAUGUGUGGAGAUUUAAGGGUGUUCUUGUGGAGGCACUAAAUCAUCUCACCAAAUUGAGUAGAUAAAAAGAAUUAUAAUUUGUAGACUUAGUUUAUUUUUCCUUUCAAAAAAAUAUUAGUUGGUUAUUGACCUUGUUAUUAGAUCACAAAAGUGAUGAUGUGACCUAUGGUGUAAAAUUUUGCUUUUAGGUGAUGAACACCCUGUUUGGAACCAAACAUACCUAUAACAAUUUAGAUAGUUCAAGUGAAAUGAAUAAUAAGAUUUCAAAAAAGUGGAAGGAGUAAUCCAUUUUUCCUUUUGUUUGUCUACUACUUCUUAUGAAUCUAAACAAAGGAGUUCCGAUAGAAUAGACUCCGAAAAGAAGGGCGCUCUUUGCAAAAUGGUGCUUAAUUUUAUAUAUGUGUUGCAUUUGCACUUACCUGUUUGGAAUUUAUAGAGUUAAAUUUAAAUCAAUUAGUUUUUAAUAUAAAAAUUGUGAAUCCUAAGUGCUAACCAAAUUAAUCAAGCAGAGGAAAAAAAAAAAUAACAAAUAGAGUAGGCUCUGGUACAGGUCAUUCUUUUUUUUAAAAGCUUAAACUACUAUGGUACAAAUUUUCGAAUAAUAUUCAGCAGUUUUGAAUAUAUUUGUUACUUCACAAUAUAAUACGAUCUCAAAUAUAUUUCAAAAAGCUUAAGUUGGUAGAACAAUAGUUUCAGAUGAGUGUUUCAUAUUUUAAAGAUAUAAAAUGUUCAUUUUGAAUUCAUUUUAGAACAAGGAGAAUUUUGACUUGUCCUUGAGGCUGCAAUUGGUUGGAACUUUCCACUUUUACUCUGCUCGAUAAGAAAAGUACUCAGGACCUGUUUGGCAUUAAAAGGCUCACCUAAUGCUAAUAUGUAAAAUAAAAUUAGGAUAAAAAAAUAUACAGAAAUAUACUACUACGUUUUCUGAUAAAAUAGCAGAAAAUAUACCGUAAUCGACUAAUUUUGAUAUGCAAAACGCUAUAUUACAUAUGAAAACAAACUUAAUAUUUUUUCAUCAUCCCGCAAAUCCGCAAUCCUAAACGAAGUUUCAGUCUGUUUUUCUUAUUUUAUCCUCUAUAAAAUAUUAUGUUAGAAAAGUUCCAAAUGUAAUUCUAAUUGCUAAACCGACUAUCGCUAGUACAAGUGGCAAAGGGCUUGGUGGUUGGUAUCCGAGGUUCUGAGUUCGAAUCCUAGUUGAUUCAUAUUUUCAAAUAAAUUUAUUUCUAAAUAAAAUAAACGAAGCGGGUAACGUGCUAUCUAUCUCUAAAAAAAAAACACACACACAAGAUCUAUUCGCGGACCGUAUAAAUGAUUUUUUUUUUAAUGCAUUAUGAUUUGUUAUUAAGGGAGUCUAUCCGCAAGGUGGGGGCUUGAGCUCUCAUUUUGCACCAAAAAAAAAAAAAAAAAAAAAAAAAAAAAAAAAAAAAAAAAAAACAUGGUACAGGUUUUAGGGUGUCUUGUAGUGAGAAACUUCUGGGUAUUAACAUACACAUAUAAAAACAAAAAACACACACAAGAAACGCGCAUUGGGAGUUCAAAUCUCUGACUAAAAAAAUUCUUGAUAACGACCAACUGAUCUAAAUAGUGAUGGUUAGUCUUACAGUAAGUCGUAUUAUUAAGUUACUGUUCUAUUCCUCAAAAAAGCGUGGAAAUUUUUUUUCUAAAUUCUUUUUUAUAAAAAACUCCUUUUUCCCAUUUGGUUUGAAAAAAAAAAAGCUUUUUUGAAAAAAAAAAAUCAUAUUUCAUGGAAAACUAGCAUUUUUGUUUUUUGAUUUUUUUUUUCUUAGAAAAACGAAAACAAUAGUUUUCUAUAUAAUAUGAAAAAAAUUCAUAAAAACUUAUUUUCCUUAGAUUCAAAUGGACCGAAAACUAAAAAAUAGUUUUUUUUUAUGAAAAACUCCUUUUGGUGAAAAUUUUUUUCCAUACUUUUUUAGGAACUAAACAGUUGUGAGCAUGAUUGAAUUAUUAUAGUUUUCUGAAGAUGAUGGGCUUCGUAUUCAUAAAUCAAUUGUUUUAUAGACACAAAUUAAUUAUAUACUUUUUUGACGGUUCAUAUCAUUAAAUAUAAUAUUCAGUGUUUGAGACAUAUUUAACAAGUUUACAAUUAACUUUGGACUAAAUUAUCUCAUAAUCAAAAGGUUCGAAAAUAAAUAAAAAUGACACAUUUCUUCAGAAAACUAUAGAGAAAAAUAAUUUAAAAGAAAGCAUUUUAAUUUCUAUUAAAUAUAAUAUUCAGUGUUUGAGACAUAUUUAACAAGUUUACAAUUAACUUUGGACUAAAUUAUCUCAUAAUCAAAAGGUUCGAAAAUAAAUAAAAAUGACACAUUUCUUCACUUGUUGAUAGAGAAAAAUAAUUUAAAAGAAAGCAUUUUAAUUUCUUUUAAAUUUUAAAAGAAGUUAUAAAAUCGAUUUUUUUUUUUAUGUGUAGCUUUACAGAUUCUUAAUUAUACUAAUGUUGCGAACAUCAUCUUGCGCACAAAAUUAAACAUCAAGCUAUACCAUUUUUAACAUUACUUUAUAAAUUAACCUCACCAUUUUUACAUGGGAAAACUUCAAAAAGCCCCUCGUGGUUUCGCACUUUCUCACUUUAGCAUUCUGUGGUUUAAAGUGUAUCAAUUUGGUGCCCUGUGGUUUCAUUUUUAUCUUUUCGCGUGACAGCUUUUUCGUUAAUAUUUCAUUAAAUUAUUACAAAAAACUUCAAAUACCCACCUAGCUAGGUUUAUCAAAUAUUCACUUUAGUACCCUUUAAUUUUAACUUUAUCACUGAUUUAAGAAAAAAAAAAUAGUUAAAUUGAUAAUAAAAAGAGAAAAAUGAAACCACAAGACACCAAAUUGAUACAUUUUAAACCACAAGGUACUAAAGUGAGAAAGUGCGAAACCAUGGGGGGUUUUUGAAGUUUUCCCUUUUUACAUUUUGCACGAACACAACAUGUUUUAUAUAUAAAGAAAAAAUGCUUAGGAAUGAGUGAUUUUAGUAGUGAAUUAAGUUUUAAACAAUUUAAUGGUUGAAGGGUAUAUUUCAAAAUCGUCGAUAGUCGAGGGUAUCUUCUUAUAAUUUUGCCAAAUUAAAAUUAUUAAUUAUUAAUUUCUCAGAAGAUGGUCACAUUGAAUGCGCACAACAAGAAAAGAAUAUAAAAACCCCACCGACGUUACAAGAAUAAAUGAUCAAUUAAUUUAUGUUGUUGUUGUAUGUGAUGAUGUAUAAAUUUGACUUAAAACUUAAAAAAGACAUUGUCAAAAACAGGAGUUCCAGGAAAAAUAUAUUAAUGGGGGCUUCAUAAUAUAAAUAUAUAUUGUGAUUUUUGUAUAGGCCAUGGAAUAAAUAAAUAAGAAGCAUGGGUAAGGUCACAAGGCACACAUGAGAUGUUCCCUAACCAAUGUGGGAAACACUAUUGCAUACACCAUGUCUAUAUAUAUAUAUAUAUACACUGUAAUCUCGAAAACAUAAAUUUUAAUUAACUUAAUAAAAUGUAUAUUUUUGGAUCUGUUUCUUACUAAAUCGAUUUUUCAAGUAAUAUGGUAUCAUAUAUAGUAAAAGCACCGUUUUUUGUUAGCUUAUUUUGAAGCCAGUUGAGACCCAUAUGAGCUUAAGAAUGUGACUUAUCUAAUGAAACUCAUUCAACCUAAGGCUUAAGCAUUUUAGAUUUACAUCCGUUAGUAUACAUCAGCAUUUUUACUCUUUUUUGAUUAUCUAAUGUAGGACUAUAUAUAUUUGAAUUCUUAACAUUCUUCUCUAUCUUCCACUCUCUAAGCACGGGACUGAGUUGCCAUUUUAUGGCCUUCUCAAAAACAUGUCUUUCAAGUUCUUUUUAUGAGUCACUGUUAAUCCAACUCAUCGGAGUACAUGCGCUUUAAUAUGUGCUACUCGGAAAUUCAUCUGAGCCCAUACACCUGAUCUGUGCCUUCAGACCUAGCAUUAUUGAAUGCACCAACCAUCUGAGACCAUGGAUCUAACCCGCGUCUCUCGGGCUUAAUUCUUUUGGGUGCAACAAACCGUCAUAUCGUGUCUCAUGAUUCCGCUAUGUGAAUGCGUCAUAUUAAUUCGUAAGAGCCACCAACUCGAUCGCAUCUCACUACUUAGACGAGUAGUCCAGAAUCAAAAAACUUUCAGCUUUGACGCCACUUGUUAGGGUAGGUAUUGUUAUCAAAUGUUUGAUGGACUUUGAACCAUAUGUUAGCCAAGUUGAGUCAAUUUGUUAGGUUGAUCCCUUGUCCUAUUCUCCCUCUUAUAUAUGAAAAUAUAAAGCCACUUUAAUAACUACUAAUAGGUGAGGUGUCAAUUUCCAGGAGAGCUUGGGUCCUAGUCAAACAUGAGGGCUCCAAUGCACCAUCCAAUAGAGACAAAUAGGUGGUCAUUUGUGAAUGUUAGGGUUUAAACAUACCAUGUCUAUAAUAAUGUUAUGUGACUAACUAGCUGUUUUUAGUUGCAUGCAUGGUCCUAUGGGCCAUGUGUGCUGUCCCUACUUUGUCUCCUUGAGAGAAAGUAGAGAUGUCAACGGGUCGGAUUCGGGGUGAAUUUUUAAAAACCCGAACCCGAAUCCGACCCCAAAUCCGAGACCCGAACCUGACGGAUUUUAAAAAUCCAUAUUCAAACCCGAACCCGACCAAAAAUCUAAAACCCGAACCUGAACCCGAACCUGAAAAUUUGAAUCCGAAACAAUUAUUUCUUUUUUCAAUAUUUCAAAAUAUAUUAUAUUAAAUCUAAACUUUUAAAAUACAAAUUCAAAUAUAACAUCAAAUUUAUAUAUAUAUAUAUAUAUAUAUAUAUAUAUAUAUAUUAUAUAUAAUACAAAAUAAAUUCGGGUUCGGGUCGGGUUCGGGUUCGGGUCAGAUGCAGUCAAAAUCUAUAUCCGAAUUCAUAUCUGUCGGGUUUCUAUUUUUAAUAUCCAUAUCCGAAUCCAUAUCCAUUUAGCAUCGGAUAUAUUAAUUUUAUUCGAAUUCAAGUUCAAAUAAAAUUUUGGAUAUCCAUACCCAUUGACAUCCCUAAGAGAGAGAGAGAGAGAGAAUUUGUGACAAGGGAAUCUUGGCAUUGGCCAACAAUAGAGGAAAGAAAAGCAAAGUGUGAACAAAGUUUGGAAUAUUAACAUUUCUUAAUUGUAUCAAAAAAGCAUAUUGAAUAAGGUGCAAAAGAUAUUAAACCUUAAAAAAUUCUUUUCCUCUGAACUCUACAAUGAUUAGUCACACUAAAGCUUUAUUACUGUUAUUGAUUCACUUUAGUAUUGCAUGGCCUAGUAUAACAAAUGUUAGGACAUUACACAAUUCUAAAGAGAGAUUUGAUGGUGGACCAUGUGUCCUUUUUCUUCUUUGUCUCCUCAAAAGCCAUGAAAGGAAGAGGAGAGAGAGAGGGAGAGAGAGAGUAAAUUUGUGACAUGGGAAUCUUGGCAUUGGCCAACAAUGGAGUAAAGAAAAGUAAAGUGUGAACAAAGUUUGGAAUAUUAACAUUUCUUAGCUCUCACCUCUAUCAAAAAGCAUAUUGAAGAUGAUAAAGAUAUUGUUCCCUAAAAAAUUCUUUUCCUCCUAACUUUACAAUGAUCAUUCUCUACAACUAUGAUGUUGUAGGGCAUCAAACUAGUUCACACUACUUCUAAAACUUUAUUACUACUAUUGAUUCACUUUAGUGGUGCAUGGCUAAGUAUAACAAAGAUUAGGGCAUUAUAUAAUUCUAAAGAGAGAUUUGAUUGUGGGCCUUGGCAUAGUGUUCAUCGGAUCUCUCCUUUAAGACCUAUAUACACAUUAUAGUUUCAAAAAUAAAAUAUAUAAUAAUAUAUAACAAAUCUUUUGUUUGAUGCACCUAUUUGUUUUGGCUCUAGUUUCUUUCCGAGAGAUAAAAAUCUGCUAAACGAAAAGCUUUUAUAUUUCACAUAGGGUGGGAGAGAAGCAGAUCGAUCAGAUCAAUCAUAUAAGCUCUAAUUUGAAACUUUUAUUUCAAUUAAUUUUUUGAUGAAAUAAUUACGUACCUGAGAGAUUGAAGAAUUAACAGCAUUAUUAAUUGAAUUCCAAUUGUAUAUUGAAUUAAUUAUCUUUUGUAGCCAAUCCCUUGCACAUUGUUGGAAACUAAGAGAAUAAAAGCAUAGAAAAAUACACUAAGGCCCUGUUUGGAUGCAUAGCUAAAAAACUCCAUGGACUUUUUAUUCUAUGGUUUUGGCCUAAAUGAAAUACAGAAUCCUGUAACUAUAAAAAAAUUCCACAGUUUCAUUUUUAAGCUGUUUGGAUACAAAUCAUACAAUUCCACAGUAUUUAUAACAAUUAAAUUUCUAAAAUUUUAAAAUUCAAAAUUCAAAAUUCACAAUUCAAAAUUCAAAAUUUAAAAAUAAAAUUUUAAACAUUAAAAUUCAAAAUUCAAAAUUUAAAAAUAAAAUUUUAAACAUUAAAAUUCAAAAUUCAAAAUUUAAAAAUAAAAUUUUAAACAUUAAAAUUCAAAAUUCAAAAUUUAAAAAUAAAAUUUUAAACAUUAAAAUUCAAAAUUCAAAAUUUAAAAAUAAAAUUUUAAACAUUAAAAUUCAAAAUUCAAAAUUUAAAAAUAAAAUUUUAAACAUUAAAAUUCAAAAUUCAAAAUUUAAAAAUAAAAUUUUAAACAUUAAAAUUCAAAAUUCAAAAUUUAAAAAUAAAAUUUUAAACAUUAAAAUUCAAAAUUCAAAAUUUAAAAAUAAAAUUUUAAACAUUAAAAUUCAAAAUUCAAAAUUUAAAAAUAAAAUUUUAAACAUUAAAAUUCAAAAUUCAAAAUUUAAAAAUAAAAUUUUAAACAUUAAAAUUCAAAAUUCAAAAUUUUAAAAUAAAAUUUUAAAAAUUAAAAAUAGAAAUUCAAAAUAUAAAAUUAAAUUUUAAAAUUUUAAAUUUUGAAAUUUAAAAAAUGUAUAAUUAAAAUUUUAAUAAUUUAUAAAUUUACAUAUUUAUAAAUUUUAAAUUUUAAAUUUAAAAAUUAAAUUAGAUUUUCUGUUUUAAAUUUGAAAUUUGAUAUUUGGAAUUUGAAAUUUCAAAAUUUGAAAUUUAUUGAAAUUUGAAAUUUGAAAUCAAAAUUAAAAAUAAAUUUUGAAAUUUUAAAAUUUGAAAUUUAAAAUUUUAUGUUAAAAUUUAAAAUUUAGAAAUUGAUACAUCUUUGGGAGCCCAAAAUGGUGGAAUUUUUUUCCUUUGGUUAAAGUGGAUUGUAAGUUUACUCCAUUUUUUGGAGUAUAGUAUAACUAUACUCCAAAAAUUACGUAAUUUUUUUUUCUUCCAAACGCUUCAUAGGAUUAUUUUCCUACCAGCGUAGCAUAGUUUAACUAUGCUACGUUUUUAGAGGUAUCCAAACGGGGCCUAAAUUUGAUGAUAUAUUGAUAAGGACACAGCAAAAACAACCAAUGCAUGGAAUAUUAUUAAUAAAUAAGGACAAUAUAUAGUAUGCGAAUCUAAUGCUUUAUAAACCCCACCAUUUUAAAUAGUUUCAAAAUUGGACACAAGGAAGAAGACAAUAAGAUGGUCAUCUCCAUGCCAUGAGAUCAGUGAACCACUUACUUUAAGCUGCUAAAAAGCAAAAUCCCUUGUCCAUUUCUCAAGGUAUUCAAAAAAUAGGGCUUAAUUAAUUAAGAUCAUUUUAACAUGGCACUUCUUUUCAUAUAUAUUUACCACACUGGUUAUCCAAACUAACAAAGAAUUUAUAGUUAUCAAUAUAACUUUCGAAACUUUCGCCCAUUUUGAUUCAACUAUUCAAUAUUUUAAAAGUUGAUGAGUCUUUUAGUAUAAAUUUUAGGCUCAUUACAAUUUUUCAAUGAAAGUAUAUAUAUGUAGUUGCAUAACUUAUAUAAAUAUACUAAUUAGACCCGAAGGGAACGAUGAAAUUAAUAUUCAAAUUUUAAAGUUAAGAGUCAUUACUUGAUUGGAGUCAAAUGAAUUAAAAGAGUAGAUAACAAAAUCAAGAUUUUUUAUCAAAGUUGGAUAUAUAGUUGGAUCAAAAUAGGUCAUAUAUAGUUCAGAUAAAUUUCAUACAUUUUUAUCUUUUAUUUAUAAUUAUACUUGUAGCCAGCCCACAUAUGUACUCGUAUUUUCAAUGUAAAAGCACGAUUCGAACUGGAGACUCAUUCCCAUGAAUUUUGCAGGUGGCGACUAAUUACGCACUUUGGCAUAACAAUUAUCCAAGUAGAGCUAGAAUACUUUUAGAAGCACCAACUCAUUGGUGCUUCUAAGUUUCUAGCCCUUGGAUCUACUCCCCAAUUACUAAUACCCCUUGGAUCAAACACUAUUCCACCUACCACCAUCAUCUCAACCCUACAUCUCUCCAUCCAAGGGCUAAAAACUCAAAAACAUCAACCCAUUAGUGCUUUUGAGAGUAUUCUAGCUCUACUCACAAUUAUCCUGUUGUCUUACAAAUGGCCUUGUCCAAAACAUUAUAUAUUACAAGUACAUAUAUGUCCUUUUAUGAAAUUUGCCAUUUUUCCUACUUAACAUUUUCCCACCAUGUCCUUUUCUUUUUUUGUUUCUUUCUUUUUAUUUUAUGAAGUUCAUAGAUCGAUUCAUCAUCUACUAGAUGACAAUUGAGAUGCCUACCUAACAAUGUCAUAGUUAGUUGAAAUUCCAAUAACCUUUGCAAUAUUUUUUUUGACACAUAACUAUUAUAUAGUAGCCUAAUUAGCAAAAAUUUUAACUUGACAAAUAUGCUUCAAACACUCAAAUUUCACAUAAAAUGAAACUAGAUCCAAAUUAAUCAAGGAUAUUUUAUUGAACAACUUCCACAAAUUCAAAGCGCGUUAAGAAAUGAAAAAAAAAGGUUAAUUAAUUUGAAGGUUCAAUUUAAAUCGUUCAUCACACCUUAAUAAUGAUACUAUUAAUAAUCGAUCUGUAUCCUUUUCUUUUAGAUCUAGUAAUAACAUAAAGAACUUACUAAACUUUGGAUCAUUUUGAAUUAGCAAAAUUUUAAUUUCUCUCUUUAUUUGAAUUCAGUCUUUAACUAUAAAAUUUAAAUUAGUUACUUACUUUAAUAUACUAACUAAACUGGGCAUGUUUGGUUCAUGAUUGGAAUAGAAAUGAGAAAUGGAAUUAGAUUGCUUUGGAAUGGAAAAUAGAAUGACGAAUCAUCCAAAAAUGUUUGAUUCAUUAUUGGAAUGAGAAUCAGAAUGAAAAUUUAAAAUUUUUGAGGGAUAGUUUUGAUUAAGAGAGAGGAAAGUGAUGAAAGGAGAGGAGGUAGGUGUUGAUGAAAGAGAAUUUUAAAUAGUUUACUUUGGAAUGAGCCAAUCCGGGAUUUAAAGCAGGAUUGGAUCAUAAAUGGAUUUGGCUAUUCCCAUUCCGGAGUGGAAUGGGAAUCGGAAUCCGAUUCCUAUAAAACAAACGGCAACUAUCGGAAUCAAUAAAUUCCAUUCCGAUUCCAUAGUUCGAACCAAACAUGCCACGAAACAUUCGAAUUUUUAGGUCAAAAUAUCGUUGAUUAACUCAAACGAAAUAAAUUGAAAGGUUAAAUAGUAAAAUCAAAUUUUGGAAGAUUGGAUCGCUGACUCAAAAUAGUUUAUAAUUCAGAUAAAUUAUUUAUAUUUUUACUUUUUUUUUCCUCAUGAAAGAAACAAUUACCAACUUGUUUUGUUUUCUUUUUGAAAUACUCUACAAUUACUAACAUGUGCGAAUUAAACUAAUUGGUUUACCUAAUUACAAGUUGGCGUUACUUGCUUGUUCAAAAACAACACUACUACCUUAAAUUUUAUAUAUAUAUAUAUAUAUAUAUAUAUAUAUAUAUAUAUACCUUUUGAUCAUUAGGCAAAUGAUGGCAAAGAAAAAUUUGAAUUUGAUUUUGUAAACCUUCAAGUGGUAUAGAUCAUGUUCAACGGAGCCGAGCGUCAAUUGGAAGCCUCUAUCAUCGAAAACAACUCGAUAGUAAAACGCCUGUUUACUAUCGAGAGAUAUUCUAGCUCAACUCUAUAUAAUAUAUAUAUAUAUAUAUAUUAUAUAUAUAUAUUAUAUAAUAUAUAUAUAUAUAUAUAUAUUACGGCCUUUUAACAUCAAGGAAAAUUAAAGGUUAUUUUCCAAAUAAUAGAGUUCUCCCUGUUUUUCUUUUUUUUUUCUUUCUUUUUCCCCUUUUUUUUUUGUCUACUUUGUUGGGAGUUUUCCAUAAUUGGUCCGUUUCCAUGAAAAUAUUGAAAUUUUCCGUUUAUCCCGGCACAAUUUCAUGUGAAUUGCAUCUAUUUCCACAUGCUUUUGAUUGGAUGUUAAAAUGAUAUAAUUAAGCUUUUGAUUGGACAUAAAAUGUUAUUAAAUUCAUUAUGUAAAUGUCAAUUAGGUUUAAUGCAUUUGUCGAUAAUAAUUUCUAAGUUAAGUUAUCAUUAUUUAUGGAUAUAAAUAUAAUUAAUCAUUAUUGUGGCGUGCAAAAACUAGUUUCAAACCUUACAUAGAGACAUUAAAUUCGAGUAAUGUUACAUCAAAAAUCAUUUUACAUACAUGUUACAAAAAAAAAAAAAAAAAAAAUUAAAAUUAAAAUUACGUACCAUCUUAAUAAUAAUAAUAAAUGAUGGUGAUGAUGAUGAUCUCUGGAUGAUUACAAAAAAGUAGGUGGUGAGUGGACCACGAGUGGACCAGGUCUAAACAAUAAUUGUCACCAAAAAAUUAUAGGCAAAUUGUUAAUUUCUUGUUGAUUUUCUAAUUUCAGCCAAUAUAUAUGAUCCAAUUAAUUUAGAUUUAUGAGAUUGCUUGUUGAUAUCAAGCCUUUUUAGUUUAAUUUUGGUUUAGUGCCCAAAUUUUAUUCAAAUUUAUAUUCUUAAGAUCGUGUGAAAUAUUCUCUAAUUGAGCAUUAUAUUAACUAAAUAAAAAAUGAUUAUGAUCUGUCUUUAGUUUUAAUGUAAUACUCAAUAAUUUCAAAUCGGAUAAAAAAUAAAUUAUAAUUAAAAAUAAAAGGACCAGAAACUCCGGUAAUAACAAGUGGAUUUAAAUAUUUUCAUCCGCGGUUUUGGCUAACGAGUUAUUAGUGCUACUAGUGAGUUUGGGCUAGCAGAAGUAUGCCAUGAAUCACAUCAUCUGAUGAUUUUGAAUUAGAAAAUGGGACCUGAUGGGAACGAGCGAGAUUCAUCUCAUAUCGCCUUAUGAUCUUGGACUAAACGAUGAGACCUGAUGAUAAAGUUAGGGUCUGAACGGAGGACCAAAAACUUUAAUACUAAUAAUAACAACCCGACUUAGAAUUCUUAGUACUAACGAAUUGAAUCGUUACACGUCUCUAUUGCAUUAAGCUCCUAAGACCAUAUCUUUCUUAAUCAUGUGUAAAGUCCUCAUUUGGCAAAAGGGAAGGGGGAAAAAAAAUGAUGUGUGAAGUUCCUAGAUCUUUCUCAAUUCACCCUCCCUUUAUUCCAAUGAGAAGGUAAUGAAGACAAUGUUUUCCACAACCUUUUUCUUUUUGCCUUUUUAAUUUGUGUGGUCCAUAUUUUGAUAGGAUCACCCAACCAUGCACUCAACCAGAUUCAUUCAAUUAAAAGGAGAGAAAAAGUAACUUGACUUGGCCCAAAUUAUUGCGCACUCAAACAAAAAGUUCUAUUUCUUUGAUGAGUUACAUGUAGUAAUGAGAGUACAACUCUUUAAAAAAGUAAAUUUCCAAUUUCAUAUGAUAAAAAAAAGAAAAAAAGAUAUAUUUAUCUCUUUUACAUCUCCCUCCUUUUAUUUUGUACUGCAUUAAAUUUACGAGCGCUACCAAAAUUUCGGAAUCAAAUAUCUGCUUGAUGGCAUUGUACUGGAAUGAAUGUUUAAAUUUACACUUACACACUUAACUGUUUAUUCUCCAAUAUACCAAAUCAAAUGAAAAUUUAAAUUUUAAAAUUUUAAAUCAUCAAAAACCAAAAUAAAAAAAUAAUAAAUAAAGUAAAAGAGGGAGCUCAUGGUCCAAUUAUAUCCACCACCACCACCACACACCAACCAGUACUCCUAUAUAUUAUAUUAUUAUUAUAUAAUUUAUUCUAGUGCAUGUGAGAAUGGGGUAGGAGCUUCAGAGCCUGUAACAGGGUCUUUUUGAGCCUACCCAAAUGAGGCCUCACAUUUUGCUUAUCUAAGUAAGCUGUUUUAAUGGCGGUCCACCCUUGCUUGUGGAUGGAGCAUGGGUUCUUCAACACUGGGUGAUUUUUAGGGUAUUGCUCCCUCAAUGUGGUCUCAUCCAACUUGAUCUUGUACUCCAUGUAGUUGAUCUCCAUAUCCUUAGUCGCGUUACCAAAUGUUCCCAUUGUUAGCCACUCUAACCCCCCAAACGGCACCACCUGCGUCGACCAGUACAAAAAAAAAAUGUUAAAACAUCGUUCUCUAACAACUUCAACUUUAAAUAACAAUAAUUUUAAGAUAAAAAAAUAGGAUAAAAUGCCCUCCAUCUAUAGUCCUUUGAUAUAUAUAGACAUUAUUGGGGAACUUUUCACUAUACUUUUUUUUAAAAAAAUAUGUAUAUAACUCAUCUGAAACCAUUUUGAAUCAGCUGCUCAAUUUUUAAAAAUUUUGAUUCAACCCUCCAAUCUUUUAAUUUGCUUUAAAAUUUGAAUGAAUCGGUCAUCUUUACAUAUUAUAAGUAAUAUAAUUCAUUCAUUAUAGUAAAUAAUUAAUUUAAAUUUUGAAGUCAAAGUUCAACGGACCGAAAUUUUGUCAAUUCAAAAUAAUCCACAUUUCAAGUAUGACCCUAUAAUAAAUUAGGAAAGUCUUUUUUGGCCCGCUAUCCCUUUUAUUUGGGUAGGCAGCAGGUCGCGAUUUUACAGCCCUAAAAUUGAUAUGAUAGAAAACAACUCAGGAAUGAAUGAAUGAAUGAAUGAAUGAUGCAGACAAGCGCAGGUACCUGAAUGAGGACGGCGCCUGCGGGGAGGAAGACCAUGUUGGUGAGGCCGGCGCCGUGCACGCCGAGCAUUACGUCGGCGGAGUUGACGAGCCGCGCGAACUGGCCGACGUCGGUGUUCACGUCGGGCUCGCCGAUCCGGACGUCGAACCCGAGGCUCGUCGCCAUCUCCACCAUCGCCCGCUCGUUCAGGAACAUCCGCGUGUUCUUCCGCGAUAUGAUCAGCAGCCGCGGCUUCCGCCGGAUGUCCCACCGGUCCCCUCCCGGCACCGCCGCCGCCCUCUCCAAUCCAAACGCCUCCCGCAGCAUCUGCCCGUCCAAUAUAAAUAUUAAAAACAUCAUUCUCUGAUAUCUUAAAUUUGAGUCCGGCUAGGAUAUUAUCCAUAGCACCAAGCAUUUGAUGCUAUCGAAGUUUUCGCUGUUACAUCUAAAAGCCAAAAAUCUAAUAGCACCAAUAAUUUAGUCCUGUUGAUAGUAUUCCGACCUAGUUUCUUAAACUUUCGUACUAUUUAGAUAUAAAUAUACAUUACUUAUCUGAGCAUGAAUCAUUCAAAAUUUGAAUUGCCAACUAUUUACUUUAGUAAAUUUAUAAUUACCAAAUUCAAAACUUCCAGAACAGUUUAAGUUCUGUAAGUUUUUCAUCCGUUAUUAUUAUUUAACAUGGUAUCAGAGCAGAGUAGAGCACAACCUUUCGGAACUCGACGACGGAGUACCCGCCGGGCGUCUUCGAGGCGUUGACGCCGAGCUCCUUGUGGAAGGCGGGACCGGCGACGAGGCGGGGGAAGCAGCGGACUUCUUCGUCGGCGUCGACGUCGACGAUGUCGAAGUUCGUCAACUGCUUGAGGAUCUUCUCGAACUUGUGGAUCCACCACGGCUUCACGUCGGUGACGAGGAACUGCACGGCGCCGCGGAAUUGGUACGCGGAGAUGAAGAUCGGGACGAGGACGUCGGUGUAGUCGUGGAACAGGUUCCCCGUGAACCCGCCGGUGGAGAACAGGAACGCGGGCACGGACUGGUUCACGGUGCACGCGGGCGGGGGCGGGGGCGGGGGCGGCGGCGAUUGGCCGCGCGGGAAGGGGAGGAGGGCCCACUCGCUGACGUGGCGGAACGCGACUGCGUCGUGCUUGCGGGCGUACGGCUUGAUGCGCUGCGCCCGGCGCAGCGGGCGCACGUGGACGGUCUUCGACCGGCCCGCGACGCGCACGUCGCCACGCGCGUCGCACGUGUCGGAGCGGCGGCUCGUCGCGUGGCACGUGGCCUCGCCCGAGUCGUCGUCCUCCUCCUCCUCACCAACCUCAUCGAUGAUGUUGAAGUUGUUGUUGUUCUCGCUCUUGGAUUUGGUUUCUAUUUUUUUGAUCUCCUCGUAUUCUGUGAGAGAAAUUUUGUUCUUUUUUUUAAAGAUUAAAUAAAAUUUAGGGGUUUAUUUGUAGUUUUUUGUAGCAAUUUUGCUUUUUUUCUGGGAUUUUUUGGUGAGGGGAAAAAAAAAUUGUGGGUGUUAUUAUUAUUUUGCUUUUUUCCAUUUUUUUGGAUAUUUUUUGGGUGAAGAAAAAGAGGUUGAGAAAAAAAAAAUAAUGAUAAUUAGAAUAGUUUAGAAAAAAUUGAAUGAGUUAUCUGUAAAUUUUAUUUUUUGCUUUACUGGAAAGUAGUUUUGAUUUUGUAGUAAUGAUUAUAAUUUUUGCACCAAUUUUGCCAAUUAUUGGAACUAUGAUUGUUUUCAGUAAAUAAAUUGAGGUUAAUUUAGCUAAUUUUUCUAAGUCCACAUCCUCUGUGAACCACAAAAAAAAAAAAAAAAAAAACUAGAGAUAUUUACAGAAAAAUUUGGGAGUUAUAUAUUUUGUAGAAUUUUAUUUUUGAGAAGUAUAAUAGGCUUGAUUUCGUAGUACUGCUAACAAUUUUUUGUCAUUUAUUUGGUGUAGAAAUCGCAGUAAAAUUUGGAUAAUUUUGUAGGAAUUAUCUUGAAGUAUUUUUUUUGGGGGGGGGGGAAUUAUUUUGGGGAAAUUUAUAACACAAUUAAUUAGCAAAUUUUACAACAAAUUUUCCUAACUUUUGGGAAUUUUUGGUGAAGAGAUUAAAACUGUGGAUGCAUUUGAUGUAUUAAGCCAAAUUAUGAUGAAAUUGAGGUAGAAAUAGCAGAGCAUUGCAAACAAAUUUAAUUUUUAGGGUUAAAAAAAAAAAAAGUUUUUUUAAAAAAUAAAUUAUUGUUCAUGUAUAAGGAGACGGGGAAUUAAUUAAUUAAUGAAGAUCACUAACCUUUUAUUGCUGAUUCAGAAAUUUUUCUCUGAUCAUCAUCUGUGACCAUCAUUAAACUCUCCUCCAUCUCUACCUCAAAUUUCAAAGGCCCUUUUGAUUUUCCUAAUUAUAAUAAUAAUGAUAAUGGUAAUGAUAAUGCUUAACAUGAGAGUGAUGAGAAAAGUGAAUUAUCAUAGAAUAAUAAUAAUAAUAAUAAUAAUAGGAAUAUGUAUGUGUAUGUAUGUGGAUGUAUGUAUAUGCAUACCAUAAGGGGUGGAGCAAAAUCGAGCCUUGAUGAAGGAGAGGGCACAAAGGGAGAGGAGCAUGGAUGCUAUGAUGAUCAUAUUCCCUAUCCUUCUUGAGUGAUGAUCUCCACCCCUUGCAUGGUUCCUUUGGGACUUCAUCCUUUGCCUCUCUCUCUCUCUCUCUCUCUCUCUCUUGUUUUCUUUCUUCCUAGCUUUCCUUUGCUCUCUCUUUCUUGGUUCCUUCCCUUUGUGUGUUCUCUCUCUCUCUCUCUCUCUCUCUCUCUCUCUCUCUCUAGAUCUUUCUCUCCCCCUUGGUUUUCUAUCUCUUUCCUCCUUCCUUUAGCUCUCUCUCUCUCUCUCUCUAGAUCUUCCCCUUCCCUUUGCCUCUCUCUCUCUCUCCCUCCUUCCCUUUCCCCUCUCUCUCUUCUUCCCUUUGCCUCUCUCUCCCUCUCCCUCCUUCCCUUUCCCCUCUCUCUCUUCUUCUCUUUGCCCCUCUCUCUCUCUCUCUCUCUCUCUUUCUUCUUCCCUUUCUCCCUCUCUCUCUCUUUCUCUCCUCCCCUUUACCUCUCUCUCUCUCUUCACUUUGCUCUCUCUCUCUCUCCCUCUCACUCUCUUUCCACCUGCCUUUAGCCUCUCUCUCUCUCUCUCUCUCUCUCUCUCUUCUAUUUGCUCUCUCUCUCUAUUUGUUUUAAGCUACCACUUUCAAGCCUUUGAAUCUUACAACUAAGUUGGGUCCAUUAUUAAUGGGAAUGUGGGGGGUAGCAGCCUAAAGUUGGCUAAGUUUGCUGUUCUCAUUUCAUGGUUGACUAAGUUAGAACCACUGCCAAAUUAACCAUGUACCAAUAUGUGACCAUUAUAGGAUAAAUUAACUUUUUGAUCCCUAAAAAAUAUGAGACGCGUGAUAUUUUAUUUCUCAAAUUUUAAUUUAUAAUAAAUUUUUGAUUCGAAUUUAUUGAAUUAUUUUAAAGGUAAAUUUUUAAAUAUCACUCCUGUAGUUUCGCACUUUCUCACUUUAGUACCAUUUGGUUUAAAGUGUAUCAAGUUAAUUAGUACACUGUGGUUUCAUUUUUUUCUUUUCGUCAGCUACUCCGUUAAUAUUUCGUUAAAUUAUAUAUAAAAAAUUUCAGAUACCCAUCUAGAUUUAUCGAAUAUUCACUUUAGUACACUUUAGUUUUAACUUUGUCACUGAUUUAACGAAAAAAAAAAAAGUAAAAUAGAUAAUAAAAAUAAAAUAAAAUCACAGACUACUAAAUUGAUACACUUUAAAUCAUAUGAUACUAAAGUGAGAAAAUGUGAAACCACAGGGGUGGUAUUUCAAAUUUUUCAUCAUUUUAAUUAAGUUGUACAACUUAAUUUAAUUCGCUGAGCAAUGAUAAUUAGUGAUGAAGUAAAGUAACAUAUUAAUUAUUAUGAAAGCAUCAAUUACAAUACUUUACAUUAGUUUUUACAUCAAUAAUUUUUCAAUAUUUUGCUUAUUAAAUUAGAUUAUAAAACUCAAUUGCAAUAAUUCAAAAAAUUCAAGUUAGAAAUUAUAUAGAGUCUGGCUACUAUACUAUAUAUAUACAUAUAGAGUCCGACUACUAUACUCUUAUGAGUACGAUCGUCCUCAUACUCAUAAGUUGUUUUCAAUGAUAGAGCUUCCGAAUCGACAAUCCAUACCGUUAAAUAUUAUUUAGAGCAUUUAAAACUUCUAGAAAUCAAAUUUCAUAAUUUUUCGACAUCAUUUACCUUACGAUCAAAAGGUCACAAAAUUGACAAUUUUUAACGGCCGGUGCGGGAUACUGGCUAGUUUAACAGUGUAAAAGAAUUGGAAUAGGUAGAAAAUUCUAUUUACUACCUAGAUAAAGAUCAAUAACUCCGAUCUUAAAUUAAAGAAUCCGAUCAUCCAUUUUUAUGAUGUCGUUCAAUUUUGACUGUUUAUUUUAUACCCGCUUGAUAGACUUUUUUAUGAUUUCGAAAAAUUACGAAAUUUAUUUUCCAGAGGUUUCAAAUACUCUAAAUCAUAUUUAACAGAGUCGAUCUUCGAUUCGGAAGCUCCAUCAUCGAAAACAACUUAUGAGUACGAAGGGCUCUAUACUUAUAAGAGUAUAGUAGCCCUACUCUAUAUAUAUAUCUAUAUAUAUGUAGAGUGCGUUUGGUAUGCUUCUGGAAGCACGGAGCGCUCCGUGCUUCCAAGUUGUUUUUGAUGUUCGGACUUUCGAAUCGACGAUCGCCUCCGUUAGACUUGAUCUAGAGUAUUUGAAGUAUUUAGAAAAUAAAUUUUGCAAUUUUUCGAUAUCAUUUGGCUAGUGAUUGAAGUCGCUCAAAACCAACAGCUGAAAAUAAAAAUUUUACAAAAUAUGAUGAUAUGAUAUUAAAAUUUUAUAUCAAAGUUAUUGAUCUUGUUUUAUACGGUAUAAAGAAUUUCUAUCAAAAUUUCAUAUGAUUUGGAUAUUUCUACACCGUUAAACUUGCAAACGGCUCACCACGGCCAUUAAAAUUAUUGAUUUUAAGUCCCUUCGAUCACUAGGCAAAUGAUAUCAAAAAAUCACAAAAUUUAUUUUCUAGAUACUUCAAAUACUCUAGAUCAACUCUAACGAAACCGAUCGUCGAUUCGAAAGUCCGAACAUCGAAAACGAUCUAGAAGCACGGAAGGCUCCGUGCUUCCAAAAGCAUAGUAGCCUCACACUAUAUAUAAAUAUAGAGAGAGAAAGAGAAAGUUGAGCUAGAAUACUCCUAAAAGCACCAUGUGAGUGGUGCUUUUGAGUUUUUAGCCUUUGGAUGGAGAGAUGUAUGGUUGGGAUGAUGGUGAUAGGUGGAAUAGUGUUUGAUCCAAGGGCUAUUAGUAAUCAAGGAGUGAUCCAAGGGCUAAAAACUUAGAAGCACCAAGAGAUUGGUGCUCCUAAAAGUAUUCUAGCUCAAUUCUAUAUAUAUAUAUAUAUAUAUAUAUAUAUAUAUAUAUAUUAACACAUUAAAUAUGGGAGUACUUGGCAUGUGGUUGCUAACCAAGAAGUAUCUAGCUAGGCAUGCUUUAUUUUAAACUCAUUUUUCAUGUGUACUUCUUUUUACUAAUAUUCAAUCUUGAAAAUACUUUACAAUAUUUAGAUGUAUAAAUAUCUUAUUCCAUAUAUCUCUUUAAUUUACUUAAAAAUUUUAAAUGUUUAGUUGAUAAGAAGUGUGAUCAAUUGUUUAAAAUAAAAUAUGAGAUUUGAAUUUGUUCAAAAUAAAAUAAAUUAUUUUAUAGGUAAAAUAUGAUGUUAUAUCAAAUCAUAAUAGUAAAAUCUUUGAAGAUGCAAAAAAAUCAAACUCCUUAUUUAUUAUCAUAUUAGAAAAUUUUAAUAAAACUUUAAUAAAAAAUAAGUUAUUUUUAAAUAACUUAUGCUAAAAUCCAAAUUAACAGGACCUGCGAAGUAUGGGAAUUGAACAUCAGUCUUCGUGCAAAAUUUAUGAAAAAUAGGAAAUUUCUAUGAAGCCACCAACAACUCGCAAAUAAUAAUAAUUCGUUAGCUCCAGAUCCAAACCAACGAUUCAAAAUACUUAAAUCCAGUUAUUAUUAUUAGCAUAUAGGUCUCAUAUAUAUUCUAAAUAGAAUUAUUUUUUCAUUUAAUAUGGAACUACUGGAACGUUACAGUGUAUUUGUCGAUGCAUACGGAUUUGAAAAGAAAAGAAAAGAAAGAAGUUUCCACAAGAACUCAAAAUUGUUACUCAGCUUACCUACCUAACCUACUAAAAUAUUCCUAAUACUAGAAGCUUAAAAAGGUCAAAUGUGUGCGUAAACCAAAAUAGUUUUGUCGUAGUGGCGUAGCAGCGAAACUAGAAGACUUUUGCUUCUUCUGCUGUGACAGAUACCGAACAGAGUUUACGUAAUUAAAGACAUAUAAUUUUUUUUUUUCAAAUAAUUCUACUUAAAUAAUAUUUUUACAGAAUAUACAGUUUGGACGUGUAAUUAUUUAUAGAAAAAACUUCAAAAGCUUCUCAUAUGGUUUCGUAUUUUUUAUUUUAGUAUUCUGUAGUUUAAAGUGUAUCAAAUUAGUACUAUAUGGUUUCUCACUUUCUCACUUUAGUAUUCUGUGGUUUAAAGUGUAUCAAGUUAGUACUCUGAUUUUAUUUUUGUAUCAAGUUAGUACCUUAUAGUUUUAUUUUUGUAUGAAGUUAGUGCCCUGUAUAAAAACCACAGGGUACUAAAGUGAGAAAGUGCGAAACCACAGGAUACUAACUUGAUACACUUUAAACCACAGGGUACUAGAGUGAAAAAGUGCAAAACCAUAAGGUACUAACUUGAUACACUUUAAACCAUAGGGUACUAAAGUGAAAAAAAGUGAAACCACAAGGGGGUAUUUGAAUUUCCCUUAUAUAUAUAUAUAUAUAUAUAAUUAAUACUAUAUAGAGAGAGAGAGAGAGAGAGGAGAGAGAGAGAGAGAGAGAGAGAGAGAGAGAGAGAGAGCAGGACUGCUGUGCUCUCAGGAGCACGGAGGACUCCGUGCUCCUGAGCCGUUUUCGAUGAUGGAGUUUUUGAAUCGACGAUCGGCUCCGUUAAACUUGAUCUAGCGUAUUUAAAGUUUCUAGAAAAUAAUUUUGCGAUUUUUCGAUAUCAUUUACCUAGCAAUCGAAAGGAUUCAAAAUCAAUAAUUUUUAACGGCUGAAAAUAAAAUCUAUAAAAGUGAUGAUAUAGCACUAAAAUUUUCGAUCAGAAAUAUAGAUCUUGUUGUAGAUAGUAUAAAGAAUUUUCUAAUCAAAUUUCAUCUAAUUUGAAUACUUCUACACCGUUAAACUUGAAAACGGCAGAUAUCAACCAUUAAAAAUUAUGGAUUUUGAAUUCUUUCGAUCACUAGGAUAAUGAAUAUCGAAAAAUCGCAAAUAUAUUUUCUAGAAACUUCAAAUGCGCUAGAUCAAGUCUACGGAGCCGAUCGUCGAUUCGAAAAUUCCAUCAUCGAAAUGGCUCAGGAGCACGGAAAGCACAGCAGUCCUGCUCUAUAUAUAUAAUAUAUAUAUAUUAUAUAUAGAGAGGUCCGGCUACUAUCCUAUUAAUAGGAUUGGGACCAUUGUCCUAUCAAGUCGAUUUGAAUGAUCGGAACUUCAAAUUGAUAAUCGGCACCGUUAAAGUUGAUCUACACAAUUAGAAAUGUUUAGAAACCAAAUUUUGUAACAUUUAAAAAUUACUAUCAAAUUCAUCUUAAGAGUUGAAAAAUGAAUGGUCAUAAAUGAAUAAUCUUCUUAAAAUAAAGGUUAGACUUUCUCAGUUCGUAAUCAGAGUUAUCAAACAUUAUCUAAAUAGUAUAAAGAAUUUUCUAUCAAAAAUUCAAGCAAUUUGGAUUGCUCUACACCGUUAAACAAGCAAACGGCUCAUAUAGGCCGUCAAAAAUUGUCGAUUUUACAACACUUUGAUCACCAUAUAAACUAUUAUCAAAAUUUAUGAAAUUUAGUUUCUAGAUAUUUCAAAUACUCUAGAUCAACUUCAACGGCUCCGAUCAUCGAUUCGGAAUCUCGAUCAUCAAGAACAACUUGAUAGGACAAGUGCUCCUAUCCUAUUAAUAGGAUAGCAGCAUUAGCCUAUAUAUAUAUAUAUAUAUAUA
Molecule: long non-coding RNA, 72685 nt
Filed under: Ananas comosus (pineapple)
Lineage: Eukaryota; Viridiplantae; Streptophyta; Magnoliopsida; Poales; Bromeliaceae
Description: long non-coding RNA (ACOM_LNC017129)
Source: RNAcentral